This 45848-nucleotide long non-coding RNA is filed under the name Lupinus angustifolius (narrow-leaved blue lupine). RNAcentral's name for it is "long non-coding RNA (LANG_LNC002125)". Lineage: Eukaryota; Viridiplantae; Streptophyta; Magnoliopsida; Fabales; Fabaceae. The record is from RNAcentral.
UAAGGACUUCCGAUAUAAAAGAUUGAAAAUUUCUAUAUUCGCAGAAUACCCAAGUGACAUUUUAGCGACACUUUUCAGGUCUAUAACACAUUUUUUCCUAUAAACUUGAGAAGUGUCACUCAUAAGUGUACAUAAAAUAGUGCAUAAGUGCGCUUAAGAGAUCUGUAUUAGUUGUAUAGAAAGUUUAACAUAUUUGUUACUUGUUGAAAUGUGUAGGACGCCUUGCUCUAUUGGCUUGUCUGGGAUUCGCUGUUCAACAAUCAGUAUACCCUGGCACUGGACCAUUGGACAACUUGGCUGCUCACGUGGCUGAUCCAUGGCACAACAACGUUGGAAACAUCCUUUUCCCCAAUUUCUAGAUUCUGCCCCCAACAAUCCAACAUUUGCUAUAAGAGCUACCUGUAAUAACUCUAUAACAUUAUGUAAUGAUCCAGACCUCAUUUGUGUUGGUAUUCCAGUUUUGUAAUUCAAAUUUUCAAUGAUAUGCUUCAACACUCGUAUUUUGGUAAUUAUUGUGUUUCGUUUUCUUGAUGUUAUAGGAAAGACUCUGUUGAGAACAAUAAAACAUACGGAUUAUCUUUAUACCUCAAAAGAAAUUAUGCUCUAAGAAAGACCUAACUUAUUUAAAAGUUUAUUCAAAAUACAUUUCAUCUCGUCUUUACCCGGACUAACACAUAUAAGAUGAUGAUAAUCACAUGAGAAUAGUUUUAACUCCUUAACCAUGCAUCAUCUUGUCCUAUUGGACAUAGUACAAAUAAGACAAAUAUUACCAUAUAAGAACAACUAAAAGAUGUUCCCCAUUGAUAAAGCUUGGAUCAACCAAAGAAUAAAGCCAUUAAGGACUUAAGUGGGAAAACAUUCAAAAUCUAAAAAAAGUGUUCUCCUUUUCUUCAUGGAGAGAGAACAUUCAAAAUCUUCAAUAGCACGCCUCUUUUAUUUGUUUUAAAUAUUUGCACUAAAAUUAGAAUCAUAAUUUAGAUAAAUGUCAUUAAACCAUAAUGUAGAUGCAUGGUAUACAAAAGGGUGAAAGAGACGUGCUAUUGUAAAUUUUUAAUGUUUUCACUAUAUGAGGAGAAGGAGAAGAUGAAGGAAUGGCUAUAUGACCAUAAAACUUAUAUGUUGUAAGUAUAGAUAGAAAUAGGUUGAGUUAUACUUUACUUUAAACAAAUCCAAUAUAUAUAACAUAUAGUAGUCUGAGAUUGAUUUAUUUAAAAAAAUUAAGACCUAGCUUAUUUAAAAUUGUGUUCAAAAUGCAUCUCAUCUUAUCUUACCCGAACUAACACAUAUAAGACAAGGAUGAUCACACGAGAACACUUUUGUGUCCUUAGAAAUGCAUUCAAUCUUGUCCCAUUAGACGUAGCACAAAUAAGAUAAAAGUGGUCACAUAAGAACAAACAACUCGUACACUAAAAAAUGUCUGCUUUUGAUGAAUCUUCGAUCAACCAAAGAUAAAGCCAUCAAAGACCCAAGUGGGGGGAAAGGGUAGAAUUGGCCUCAUGAUAGACGGGAAAACAUACCAAGUCAAGUAAGAAGAUUACAUAGUCAUGUUACAAACGUUAAAAAAAUGGCUAGAAACAACCACCUAACAUAUUCAGACACCAUAAUACUAAUUUCAGAAUCUCAGAAAUUUGUAUACUUGAGGAUUAAAAUCCAAUUUUGUUCAAUUAUUAUCAUUUUAAUAUGUGAUUUGCUAACCUAAGUAAAGAAAUUUUUUAGUUGGAGUAGAUUAACAUUGUACAUCAAUAUUUUUGGACAAAAUUUAUACUCCUAUUUUAAUUAGAAUAGGUAUAGUAAUAGGGAUAUUUUUAUAAUUUGCAUUUUACAACAAAUUCACCUCACUCAUCUCUAACCCUAUUUACCCUCCACCCCCAAACCAGAAACUGUCUGCCACCGUCGCAAACGUCACCACCGCCUUGCCAGAACCAAAUAGACCCGCAAGCACCACCACAUUGUCAUGCCCACCCCGCUAGAACCGAAUAGAGUCGCACCACCUCACUCCCAGAAGUUGAAAUUAAUCAAUAGAAAUUCCUUGUUCUAGAUAGAGAAAUUUCACUGUCAUUUUCAAAAGGUCAUUUCUUUGCACCUUAGGGUCACUUCUUUUCAUUCUUGAGGAAAGAAAUUUCUUGUCAUUUCCCUUAAUAAUUUUCAAGCUGACGGAAACAAAUCUCAUUAUGUAUACUUUCUGUGUUUAUUAAGAUGGAGAGGGGUUUGGAUGGGGAGGGUGAUUUUUCUUCUUGGUGACAAAUUUCAUUUUGUAUUAGUCUCCUAAAUACAUUUGGUCACCAACACCAACUCAAUGAUCCAUCAUAAAUGAGUGAUUCAUUUUUUCUUACUUUUCUCGUAUAGCUAUUACUCUAGUUAGUUUUCUUUUGGACAUAAUUGUAUGUAUUUCAUGGAGCGAGUACUGUUGUAUGUAUUUCAUGGAGCCAGUACUUGUGUUUGUACGUAGCAAGAUGUUUCUACCCAUAAAUGAUAUUUAUUGUAUGUUACAAAUGACAAUUUUUUUGUUUUUAAUGAAUUUGAAUUGGUAGGGCUUGUUCAAAUGCAGAGAUUUUAAUGCAGUUUCUGGUUUGGGGUAAAUGGGAUUUUCCUAUUUCGAGAGAAAUAUGUUAAUGGGGGAGGGGGAAAAGAUGAGUGAGGUGAACUUUUUUUUGUAAAUUGCAAAUUAUGAAAAUAGUCCGGUUACUAAACCUACUUCAACUAAAAUAGAAGAAUUAAUUUUGUUCAAAAUUUUUGUUGUAUAAUGCUAAUCUAUUUUAACUAAAAAAAACUUCUUUACUUAGGUUAGCAAAUCUCUUUUAAUAUUAACUAUGUGGCUCUAGAUAUAUACUUUCGAAACAUGAAUGAGAUUAUAUUAGUACAAAAAAUGAAAAUAUCAAAUAUGACAUCCCCUCUUGUCUAGUACUAAUUGUUUGAAUUUGAUGGUUUUCAACAAUAAAUUAAUGGGCCAUUAAUGAGAAUUUUUGAGAUUUGCAAUGAAAAAACUCUAAAGGAAAGUAAAAAAUAAGGUCGUUGGGAAUAUGACCGUUGAGGACCGUUAGGAAUGCAUCUCCCAUUUGGGUCGUCGGAUGAAUAUGAUCGCUGGAGACCUCAUGCUAUAAAUGGAGGUCUUCUCCCUUUAUAUUUCCUUGCACCAAUUGAACAAUAUUUCCUCAAUUUUCUUCUUUCUCCUUCAUAUUCUCAUUCGAAGCAUUUCCGGCAAACUUCUAUUUUUUCUUUCCAUGACACUAAGAAUUGACAUAUGUAGUCAAAUUAUGGGAAUUUCGAGAACUGUCACCGGUAGUUAGAUUGUAGAAAAAUAGAAUUGGCACGAGUAGUCAUAGUGUGAGCAUUUCGAGAAUUGACACUUGUAGUCAUACUAUGAUGGAUGUAUUCGAGAUUAAUUCUUACAGUGCAGUAAGAAUUUGAUAAUAGAGAGCUAGGUUGUUUUAUCCAGGGAACGAUUUGGUUGAUAGUCUGCUUGCACAUUUUGGGGAGUGCCACGAAAAGUCUUAAAGAGAGCGACCCGAUCGUGUCUCAAUUAAUAAAGUAUUCUUCCGUGCCAAUUGUUGCAAGCUAUUGUAACAACAAUUUUAAGACGUUUCCUUCUACAAUGACAUUCGUAGAGAAUACUACUAGGUCAAAAAAAAUUGACAUUAACAAACAAUUUUAGUUUGAUGGGAUUAAUUUCAAAUAGUGAUGACAUAUGAUGAAAUUCUUUCUCACUAUGAGAAAGGUUGCCAAUUUUUUGAAAAUCGAUGUCCUAAUGGUGUCGGAGGAAGCUGAAACAAAGGAUAAGGAUAAAUUGGAUAUUGAUAUAGCUAUUUGGAAUAAAAAUGAUUAUUUUUGUAAGAAUUUCAUUUUGAAUGAGUUGUCUAAUGAUCUCUAUGAUUAUUAUAAUCUAUACAAGCUUGCCAAAUUAAUUUGUUAUGCAUUUGGAAAAAAUAUGAUACAGAGGAAAGUGAGACUAAAAAGUAUGAUAUUAGUCGCUACCUCAAAUAUCAGAUGACCGAUGAUAAAUCAACAGAGUCUGAAUCACAUGAGUAACAGAGAAUUGCUCAUGAAAAUAUUUAUAGGGUAUGCCCCGAGAUGAACAAUUUCAAGUGGCUGUCAUUAUUGACAAACUGCCUACUAGUUGGAAGGACUUCAAAAACCUUCUAUGACACAAGUGAUCAUUGAGUCUAACAAUGCUUACUUCAAUGAAAAUAAAUUCCCUUUUCAAUUGAGAAAUAGUGUGGGCAUAUCAACUAGUCACAUAUAUGUGAUUAGAGAUAAUGAUAAAACGAAGGGUUAGAAAUAGAAAGUAGAAGAAGUAAGAGAGCAAGAACUGCUAAAUAGUAUGGAUCUGAUUAUAUGUUCAAUACAUUAUAGGAGAAUCCAUCAACUCUCCAAGAAGCUUUGACUUCUUUCAAUGUUGAUUUGUGGCAAGAUGUCAUAAAUAACGAAAUGGAUUCUCUAGAGUAUAACAAAACCUGACAUUUAGCUGACUUGCCUCAUGAUUGCAAACCUAUUGAUUGUAAGUGGGUAUUACAAAAGAAACUGAAACCUAAUGGUACACUGAAUAAAUACAAGACUUGUCUUGUAGCCAAAUUUUUAAACAAAGGGAGAAUAUAGAUUUCUUCGACGCAUUUUCACCUAUGACUAGAAUAACAUUCAUUAGAGUACUAAUAUCGCUCACUACGAUACAUGAUUUAGUAGUACAUCAAAUGAAUGUUAAGACUGCAUUUUUAAAUUGUAAUUUGGAAGAAGAAAUCUAUACGGAACAACCUGAAGGUUUUGUAUUCCAUGGGCAAGAAAAUAAGGUUUGCAAGUUAGAUAAGUCGUUGUAUGGUCUUAAACAAGCACCUAAAGAGUGACAUGAAAAAUUUGACAAUUUAAUUGUUUUGAAUGAGUUUAAGGUAAAUGAAAGUGACAAAUGCAUUUAUUUCAAAGCAGAAAAUGACAUUUGCACUAUCAUAUGUCUCUAUGUAAAUGACCUACUCAUAUUUGGUUCCAACAUUCAUGUUGUGAAUAUUGUGAAAUUAUUAUUGUGUAACAACUUUGAUAUGAAAGGCCAUGGAUAGGCAAGUGUAAUCGUUGAUAUAAAUAUUACUAGGUCAAAAAGAAGGAAUUUCUUUGGAUCAAUCUCACUAUGUGGAAAAGAUUUUAAAGAAAUAUAAAUAUUUUGACAGUAAACCUACUAGCACAUCAUAUGAUCCAAGUGUAAAAUGUUUUUGGAACAUUAAUGAAGGUCUAAGACAAACUGAGUAUGCUCGCAUCAUUGUAGCUUUCGGUAUGUCACUGAUUGCACAAGACCUGAAAUUGCCUAUGUCGUGGGAUUAUUGUGCAGGUUUACCAGUAGACCUAAUAUGGAGGAUUGACAUGAUAUAGAAAGGGUAGUGAGGUACCUCAAGAAAACAAUAAACCUUGAAUUAUAUUAUUGAAGGUUUCUAGCUGUCCUAGAAGGAUUCAACGAUGCUGAUUGGAAUAUCCUUUCAGAUAAUUCUAAAGCAACCAGUGGUUAUAUACUUAGUAUAGAUGGUGAGGCUGUUUCUUGGACGUCAAGGAGACAAAUUUAGCUCAAUUCAGUAUGGAAGUUGAGAUGAUAGCACUAGCAACAACUAGUGAAGAAGCAAGUUGACUGAGAAGCUUGCUUAUAGAGAUUAACAUAUGAUAAAAACCAAUACCAGCUGUAUUGAUUCAUUAUGAUAGUACCACAACUAUUGCAAAGAUUGAGAACUAUUUUAUAAUGAUAAGAAACGAAAAUACGUCAUAAGCACAAUACUAUAGAGAGUUACUCACUACAAGAGCUUUUGAAGUGAAUCAUGUACACACUUAGAAUAACUUAGCAGAUCCUUUGGCGAAAGGAUUAGCUAGAUAGAGUGCAUAAUAUUUCUAAGACUAUGAGACUAUUACUCUUAGAACGAAGAUCACACAUGAAGGUAACCCGACUUAACUGAUCCUAAGAAAUGUGUUCAACGGAUAAUAACAAGUUGUGAAGUGAUAUGAGAAUGAAUAUGUUAUAAAAUUAUGAGAAUCAUGAUUCGUGCAUUAAGGAUGAGUUAAAAUCUUAAUGAGAUCUAUAUUCCAAUUUGAGUGAAGUACUUAGACUACAUGAGUACUCUUGAUAGACUGACCUACGUGAAUGUGGAGGUGAUGACCACUUCCUAUGAAAUUUUGGGUCAUAAACUUAUAGAGUAUUCAUUAUACUGGAAUAGACAUGCAUGACAUUUAACACAUAGGUUUUAUAGAAUACACAUUUGAAAAUGUUGUGUGUAGUUUGAUGUUGAAGAUAGAGUUCAAGACUACGAGUCACUCUAGUAAAAUCUGGAUCUUAUUUACUAUACAAAGUUUCAAGUCGCAUGACACAUUUGUUUAAACACAAUCUUAUUGAGACCACAUAAAUUCUCGGAAAUUAUUUUUUAAUUUCAACUAGGGGAUUGUUGGAUUUUGAUAGUUUUCAACAUUAAAUUAAUGGGUCAUUAAUGAGAAUUUUUUGGGAUGUGAAAUGAAAAAACUAUAAAGGAGAGUAAAGAAUAUGGCCGUUGAAAAUAUAAUCGUUAGGAAUAUGGCCAUUCAGAAUAUGACCCUUGGGGAUAUGGCUGUUGGAUCAUGUGACCAUUGGAAUGCUUCCCCCGUCUAGGUCGUUAGAUGAAGAUUGUCAUUGGAGGCCUCAUGCUAUAAAUAGAGACAUCCUCCCUUCAUAUUUUCUUGCACCAAUCAAACAAUAUUUCCUCAAUUUUAUUUUUUCUCCCUCAUACUCUCAACCAAAACAUUUCCAGCAAAAUUCUCUCUCUUUCUUUCCGUGACACUAAGAAUUUGGCACAUGUAGUCAUAUUGUGGACAUUUUGAUAAUUGACACUCGUAGCCAUAUCGUGGUGGGUGUAUUCAAGACCAGUUAUUAGUAAUCCAAAAAUAAUUUGAUAACAAAGAACUAGACUAUUUUAUCCUAGUGACGACAUAGUCGAUAGUCUAUUUGCAUAUUUUGGAUAGUGCCACAAAAUGUCUUAAAAAGAAUGACCUGGUGGUGACUCAACCAAUAAGUAUUAUUUCGUGUCAUUUAGAAUUGUUGCCAGCAACGGUAACAGCAAAGUCGGGCAAGAAACUAGUGAUGACAUAAAUUGAUUGUAAAACCUAUCAGAUAAAGAAGGUAAAUGGAAAGGGAAUUUGCUCCUUGUGCAUGUGCGUGCACGUAGUAAGUGUAGACUCCCUUUAACAUUCAACCAUCAUCUUGUGAUCAAAAUACAUAGGAAAGUUGUUUCUAGAGCGCAUAAGAAAAUAAAGAGAAUCAAAAUACCAUUUCUAUUAGGCCAAGUUGUUGGUAACCGUAAUUCACCAUCACAAGCAUUUAAGAAAGGCAUGCACUAUGAAGUAACUAAGACACCACAAUAAAGGGCAUGGCAAAUGGGGCCAAAACACUAUUCAAUCCUUGUAGUGUACGAUUCAAGAAAGGCAUGUUGUUCCCCGAAUAUUGGCAUGUUGCAAUUGUAACAUUUUUCUCAAUCAUACACUCAAAUUCUCAUAAGAAGGUCCUUGAAAUGAGAAACAACACCACUAAGAAACUUGACUUUGCAUCUGGUUCGACUUUCUCACAAAAACUCAUUCCAAACACAAAUAAUUGUCUUACCCUAAAAUACAAGUCAUGAGGUGUGUAUGUCUUAUGUUAUUUAUAUAUAUUAGAUAUUCAAUGUUUUUCAUUAUAUUUUUUUGUUUAGGGAUAAAUUUAAAUUUUGAAAUUAAAUCUUGUUAUUAAUACAAAUUUUCGAAUAAAGUAUUAAUUACUUUCUAAACACUUAAAAAUGCUUUUCGUGAUAGAAAACCCUACUAAUUAUAUAUAGUUGUAAAAUUAUUGUAAUAUUCGUAAAAUGGUAAAACAAAUAAUUAUUUAACUUUAUAAAAAUUAAAAGUACUUGAAAAGCUUAUUCUAGAUUGAAAUUCAUUAAUGACACUAUAAAAUCUCAAAAAUUAUAGCAUUAUCCACAAAUAAGUAAAAAUAAUUAUUUGACUUUUAUAAAAUUGCAAAAAUAACUAAAAUAUCAUUUUUUUAUUUUAUUAAAGAAAAAAAUGAGAGGAAUUAAGACAUGUAAUACAAGAACAACUAAUCAACUUUUUCGUCCAUCAAAUAAUAUUUAAUUUAUUACUGUUAUUAUCGUUACUCGACGACUAACUAAUUCCACUGUUUAAAAUUAAAUAAAAGGGAGUAGGUUCCAACAACAAAAAAGCAUCUUUGACAAUCACAAAAAAAAAUAUUUUUUUCAAAUGAAAUCUCUCUACUCUUACACAAUAAAUAUAUAUUAAAAUUAAAUCGUUUAAAACCAUUUUUAUUCUUUAUAUUAAAAGAAAACGAAAAUUGUUGGAUUAAUUUGAAAUUAUAUACAAUCAUUAUGAUCCAAUUAAUGUUAUUAAUCCAUUUAAAACCAUGGGUACCCAUAAAAAUGUUAACAACAGAUACUCACGAUAAUAGUUUAUGAGUGAAAAUGAGUUUGAUGAUACCCGCUACAUGGAUAGAGAUGGCAAAACGGGCAACCCGACCCGUUUAGCCCACCCCACAAAUGCCCGCAUUGAUUUAAUGAACAAAAUUCAAUGCCCUGCCCGUUUUAAACGGACUAACGGGCUUGCGUGUGGUCGGCAGACAUUGUAUAAAUAAUUAAAAAUAAAAAUAAAAAUUCAUAUAAUAAAUGAAACGAAAUUAAAUAAAGUAGUUGAAGAUAAAAAAUUAACAAUUUUUUUUUUAUAUUUAUAUGAAGUUUAAGAAAUCACAUUAGAUUACAAUUUUUUUAGGGAUUAAAAAUCACAUUACAUCAUAACUUAUUUAAAAUUUCUUAAUUUUUCCUUAAAUUAUGUUUAUGGGUCGUCCGCAGGCUGCCCGCUUGCCCAACGGAAAUGCCCGUGAACUUGGCGGGCAAAACAGACAAAUGAACAAAAUUUGUAUGUCUGCUCGCAAAAAAUACAGGCAUGCCUGCGGGCAAUAUCCGUUUUGCCAUCUAUACUUAUGAGUACCUGCAUAUUUAUAUUAAAUUUUAUAUAAGUUAUAGUUUUUUAUUAUUAUUUUAAAAUUAUAUAUUAUACACUUUAUUAUUAUUUCGUAAUAAAUUACUUUGAUUUAAUUAUAAUUUUAUACUUAUAAUAUAAAUACUUUAUUAUUCCUGUCAUAACUAAUUUUAUAUAUUAAUUAUUACAAAAUAUAUAAAUAUAUAAUUAAAAUAAAAAACUAGUUGAAUAUGAAAUAUCGGAAAUACCCCUUACAGUUUUGAUUUAGGAAUGGAAACAACUACUCAGCGAUCACGCGACCAGAUUGUCAUCCAUAACAAAGAUCAAAUGGACCAGUGACAAGUCACACUCUACCAUCACUAUCCAAUGAAAUCAAAUUUUAGAUUUACCUAUAUCCACACCAUUCUCCUCUAUAUAUUCAUAUGUUUCUCUUCAUUGUUACAAACACACAAUUCUGAAUUCUCUUCUCUGAACAGUGAUAUUAGGAUUGUUUCAAAAAUAUGGCAACCAACACAUUGAUGAGCUCUGCUAUCUCAGCAUUCGCAUCUCCUCUUUCUUUCUCAAAAUCAAGAUCUCCCACUUCAGUUGCAGCUUCACGCAGUGGUACCAAAUCAUCAGGUCGCUUAUCCUCUUCUGCUGAGUGGUUCCCUGGCGAGCCUAGACCACCUUAUCUUGAUGGUUCAGCUCCUGGGUAAGCAUCAAUUUAUUGUUAUAAAUGAGAAAAUUUAAUAUGAACGAUUACAUCUUAUUUAAAAUUUCAAGACUAAAAGAUACAUGCAAAUGAUAGAUGACUCUGAUGUGACCAAUAAGUAACAUUUAACAUGCACAUUAUUCCUAUAUAUAUUAUAGGAAUAAUGGGGACUGAAAUCAAAUUUCAGUAUAUUUUCAAGUAUGAAACAGACAUUUAGACAUAAUUAAAAUUAAUUGUACAUACAUUGAAGUGGUGGGCGAUUACCCAUGAUGUUUUGUCACCCUUUGAAUCUGUCAUAGGGUGAGAAAUCUUGUAUGAUUUUAUGAUGAUUGUGUUAUACAUUGUUGUUCCUUUUGUGUUUCAGUGACUUUGGGUUCGACCCUCUUGGUCUUGGUAGAGAACCAGAGAAUCUUGAGAGAUUCAAAGAAUCAGAAGUCUUCCAUUGCAGAUUAGCUAUGUUUGCUGUUGUAAGUGUCACUUUCAAAGUAGAUAACUAUAUAUCCUUAAAGUAAUUUGCAGUGUUUUAAAUUGUGGUUGCGACGAUGGUCGCGAUUGCAGUUAUUGCGGCCGUUGCAUGCAGAUUACUUUGUUUUUUUUAAUUCAAUGCGGCUUGAUGUGGUCUGAUGCAGUUGUGCUGCGGUCCGAUAUGACCGUAUCAUUGUGAUUCGUUGUUAUAUUGUGUAAUGCGGCUGCAAUGGUCAUCGCAACUGCAAUACUGCAGCCUCAUCACAUGAUGUUGUGUGCAAUUUGAAUAACUAUUAAUCGAGAAAAUUAAGAAAGCUUAUUAGUAAGCUGAAAUUUGUUGAAUUUUGCAGCCAGGAGUUUUGAUACCAGAGGCAUUGGGUUUAGGAAAUUGGGUACAAGCUCAGGAAUGGGCUGCAGUUCCUGGAGGUCAAGCAACUUACCUAGGCAACCCUGUUCCAUGGGGCACCCUCCCAGUCAUUCUAGCAAUUGAGUUCCUUGCUAUUGCCUUUGCGGAAGUCCAAAGGGUAAUGGAGAAAGACACUGAGAAGAAGAAAUACCCUGGUGGAUUUUUUGAUCCUUUGGGAUACUCUAAGGACCCUGAAAAGUUUGCAGAAUACAAAGUCAAAGAAGUUAAGAAUGGUAAGCACUUUUGAUAUAAAAGAUCAAAAAUCUCUAUUUUUGCAUGAUACCCGAGUGACAUUUUAGCAACACUUUUCAUGUCUAUAACACAUUUUUUCCUAUAAACUUGAAAAAUGUCACUCAUAAGUGUACAUAAGUGCUCUUAAAAGAUCUCUAUUAUUGAACAUUGACAUUACCUGUAUAGAAAGUUUACCAUAUUUGUUACUUGUUGAAAUGUGUAGGACGCCUUGCUCUAUUGGCUUGUGUGGGUUUCGCUGUUCAACAAUCAGCUUACCCUGGCACUGGACCCUUGGAAAACUUGGCUACUCACUUGGCUGAUCCAUGGCACAACAACAUUGGAAAUGUCCUUAUUCCCAAUUUUUAGAUUUUGCCCCCAACAAUCCUAUAUUUGUUAUAAGAGCUACCUGUAAUAAAACUCUAUAACAUUAUGUAAUGAACCAGACCUCAUUUGUGUUGGUAUGCGGUAUGCCACUGUUGUAAUGAAACUUUUCAAUGCUAUGCUUCAACACUAUUUUGGUAAUUAUUGUUUGCUAAGAAAUAAUCACAUGAGAACAGUUUUAAGUCCUUAACAAUGCAUCUCAUCUUAUCUUACUCAACGUUGUACAAAUAAGACAAAAUGAUGACAUAAGAACAACUAAAAAACUUCCGCCAUUGAUGAAGCUUCAAUCAACUGAAGAAUAAGGCCAUCAUGGACCCAAGUGGGGAAAAUGUUCAAAAUCUAAAAGAGUAUUCUCCUUUUUGUCAUGAGUGAAAACAUUCGAAAAUAUUCCUAUUUCAUUUGUUUUAAAGAUUAUUGAGGUAAAUAUUAUCUCUAAGUGAGAUGCAUUGGAGGAAAUUUUUUAGCUCUAAGCGACUUGCACUACAAUUAGAAUCAAAAGUUUAGAUAAUUGUCAUUAAAUCACAAUGUCUAUGCAUGGUAUAAAAAACGGUGACAAGGCAUGUUAUCGUAGAUUUUCAAUGUUUUCACUCUAUGACGAAAAGGAGAACAUGAAGGAAUGACGAUAUAGCCAUAAAACUUUUAUGUUGAAAGUAUGGAUAGAAAUAGGCAAGUUACACUUUAUUUUAAACAAAUCUAAUAUAUAUAACACAUAGUAGCCUCAGACUCAUUUUUUAUUUUUUUAAGACCUAACUUAUUUAAAAGUGUGUUUAAAAUGCAUCUCAUCUUAUCCUAUUCAACGCAACACAAAUAAGACAAAAAUGACCAUAUAAGAACAACUAAAAUUAUCCACCUUUAAUAAAGCUUCGAUUAACCAAAGAAUAAAACCAUUAAGGGUCCAAGUGGUGGAAACAUUCAAAAUCUAAAAAAUGUUCGUCAUAGAGUGAAAACAUUCAAAAUCUAUAAUUGAAUGCCUCUUUCAUUUGCUUUACAAUUAGAAUAAGAGUUUAGAUAAUUGUCAUUAAACCAUCAUGUCAAGGCAUGGUGUAAAAAAGGGUGAAAGAGGUAUCCUAUUAUAGAUUUUGAAUGUUUUCACUCAACAAUGAAAAAGAGAACAUGAAGGAAUGGUGUUUUUGCCAUAAAACUUAUAUGUUGAAAGUAUGGAUAGAAGUAGGUCAAGUUAUACUUUAUUUUAAACAAAUCCAAUAUAUAUAACAUAUAGUAGCUUGAGAUUAAUUUAUAUUCAAAAUGGAUUUCAUCUUGUCUAACCCAGACAAGAACAUAUAAGAGUAGGAUAAUGAUAUGAGAACACUUUUAAGUCCUUAGAAAUACAUCUCAUCUUGUCCCACUCGAUGUGACACGAAUAAGAUAAAAGUGAUCACAUAAGAAAAAAUAAUUCUUACACUAAAAACUGUCUGUCUUUGGUGAAUCUUAGAUCAACCAAAGAAUAAAGCCAUCAAGGACCUAAGUGGAGGAAAAGGUGUUGAAUUGGCCUCAUGAUAAACCAGACAACAUACCACGUCAAGUAAGAAGAUUAUCUAGCCAUGUUACAAACAUUACAAAAUUGGCUGGAAACAACCACCCAACAUAUUCAGAAACCAUAAUACUAAGGAAAAAAGAAAAUCACUCUUAAUUGAGAAUGACAUUGUAAUGUCGCUUCCAAAAAAGGAAUGAUGGCAUAUUUCUUAGGAAGAUUCUUCACACACAUAAUAUAACUAAUUUCAUAAUCUCAUAAAUAUGUAUCCUUGAGGAUUAUAAAUCCAAUUUUGUUCAAUUAUUAUCAUUUUAAUAUUUACUAUAUGGCUAACUUGUUAUACACCUGACUCUAGAUAUCGUCAAUGGAAAACUAUCCCAAAUGGGAAAAACCAUAUAAGAACACUUCUGAAACACAAAUGAGAUCAUACUCGUACAGAAAAUGAAGACAUCCAAUUUGACACCCCUCAUGUCCAAUACUAAGUUGGGCAAGAAGCUAGCGAUGACAUAAAUUGAAUGUAAAACCUAUCAGAUAAAGAAGGUAAAUGGAAAGGAAACUUGCUCCUUGUGGAUGUGCACUUAGCUAGAAUUUUUUAAACCAAUGUUAUGAAAUCUAAGCCGAAUGUCAACUCGGAAGAGGUCCCAUAUAGGUUUUAACCGAUUUAACCGGUUAGACUGUUUGGUUGGACCGGACAACAUCAUGAUAUGAUAUAUAAUUAUAUAUCAUAUAAUUAAUUAACAUAAGUGAAUAACAUACUUUAUCAAUAUCAUGUUUUGCAUAAUGCAUACACAUAUAAAUCAAAAUUAAAGUGCAUCAAACAAGUUUAAGUCUUAUAUAAUUAGAAUUUUAAAUCAAAACACAACUCUCUCAUAUAGAUACUAAAUUGUCUUCUAAUUCAUCCAAAUAUUAUUAUCAUCAUUAGACACUAAAUUGACAUUACCAGUUAGAGAUGUAGUUAAAUUAUAACUAUCCACAUCUUCUUGAUGAAAAGAGUCCAUAUUAAAUUCUCCAUAAAUAGUAAGAUUCUUUUCUUCAAUAAUACCUACAAAUUAGAAUAUAAAUUACGUUAACUUGUAGAAACAUUGGAAUAUACAUUAGAUUAAUCUAAUAUAUAUAAAAUUAAAUUGUACAUUAGAUUAAAACAAUCCUUCAUCAUCCUUUGUUAAAUCAUGUAUUGGGUUUGAGAAUCCAUAAUAUAACAUUUUUUCUAUUUCGUCAUAAUCAACUAAUGAAGUUUUUUCUUCUUCUUCUUCAGUAAUCCAAAAAUCAAUGUUCUCAUAGUCAACGGGAUCAAGUGUUCUUCUUUUGUUGAUGGCCCUAUCAUUCCAAUAAAUAUGAUAUAUUAAUACCAAAUAGUAUAACACCUAGUAAAUAUUGACAAUUAAGUUAAAAUAAAGUGUAGAUACAUCACAAACCUAUUUUGUAAGCCCAAGUUAUAGUGCAAAUAUACUAGAUCAUUCAACCUCCUAUGCUCUAAUUUAUUCCUCUUCUUUGUGUGAAUUCUUUCAAAUAUACUCCAAUUUCUUUCACAACCAGAAGAAGAUGUUGUUUGGCUCAAAAUUUGAAUAGCUAAUUUGGAUACCAUAGGAGCACUAUAUCCAAAUUGUGACCACCAUUGAUCUAAAUAAAUAUCACAAAAAUUAGCAUGCCAUCAAAGUAUUACACUUUUACAUAAUAUUUCAAUAAGUUGAAAAAUUAAAAAAUUAAAUCUUAUCUGGUCGCAAGUGUUUAACUGUUUCAAUUGUCAUAGUAUUGCCAAAACUCUCAACUUUGUAAUGAUAAAUGCAACUUUGUUUGAAAAACUCGGUCUUGCUUGUUGUAACUUUUGCUUGUAAAACAUCAAGUCAAUAUUGUUGAACCUCUGAUUUGAUAUAAAAGUCCUCCUUAUCAUAGUAGAAUGUUGGAUUUAAAAAGUAUGCUGCACAAUGUAAUUUUGUUCGAAGUUGUUUAUCCCAUCUUUGCUUUAAAAUUCUUGUAUAAGGCUUAUACAAAGACUUUUUAUUCAUGAACACAUUCUUAACAAUUUUCCUUGAUCUACGCAUUCCAUCAUACACAUAAGGUAGAGAAGGUCAAUUAUCUGCAUCAAUAAUUCUUCACAAUCGAAUUAACGGAGCCACAAUAUUGACAAUAAUUGUGCAGUCAUUCCAAAAUCUAUUAUCCAUUACAACAUCCACAAAUCUAUUUGCUUUCUUGUCUAUAUAAUAUCUAGAAUCAAUAAAACAUGUACUAGUUACCAAAGCUUACAAAUCAUAUUUGUGUUCAUGAAUGCUUUUCAGUGGAAUGAAGGUUGUUGCAAAACGAGUUGCCCCAGGACGUAUGAUUUCUUUCCAUCCUUGCCUUUUCCUUAACCAUGUCAACAAAAACCCAUGAUUAUACACAAACUUUGUUAUAUCAGAUACACUCUUAGCUAAGGUACUCACAUGCUCCAUUUUUCCAAUGUCUCCUAAAAUCAAAUUUAAACAAUAUGCAACACAAUGAGACCAAUAGAUAGAUGGAAACUUGUCAUUUAACAUAACUCCUAUAACUUUAUAAUUUGUACUAUUAUCGGUAACCAAGUGCACAACAUUGGUUACUCCAACAAACUCAAUUAACUGAAUAAAAAAAUGAAAUUUUUUUUUAGCGACAUCAGAUGCAUCAACAGAUCUAAAAAAAGUUAUUUCCUUUGGAGAAUAUACAUGAAAAUUGAUAAGUUGCCUAUUUCUUUGAUCUAGCCAACCAUCAGCCAUGAUGGUGCAACCAGUUUCUUUCCAAAAAUUCCUAAAGGUCUCAGCUAACAAGUCAACUUUCUUCUUCAUUUCAUACAAUAAAUUAGAUCUGAUGGCAUAAUAACUAGGACCAUUAUAACCAGGAUCAGUUGCAACAAUUACAUCUAUUAUAGGUUGAUAGUAAACUGAAUUUGCACAAUUAAAUGGAAUGCAACAAUCAUAAAAGAAUCGAGCAACUACCAUAUCAGCUUUGUGAAUAGCAUCUUUACCUGCAAAGCCCAUUAUGAUUGAAGGUUGAGUUUCCGCAGUAGUUCUUGGAGCAAAGAAAUUGUUUAUACUAUGAUUUGGUCUUUUAUUUGUUGUCUCUGAUUCUUUACCCUUGGGCAUAUCUCCUUCAUGUUGCAUAACAUUUUCCUCAUAUGGAUCUUCUUCCCCUUAAGUUCAAUUAGUCCAUCUUUUUCUACUACCACUAACUUGAUCCAAGUGUUUUCUAAGUCGAUGCUUAACAUAAAAAUGGACUGAAAGACAAGAUAGAACAUCUCCCUUUACUCCAACAAGAUGUUUAAUUUGAUAUAUUCCUCCACCUUUGUAACAUUUUUAGCAAUACAAACAUUUUAUCAUUUUUUCCUUCAACAUCUUGUUGUAAUUGACAAUGAUCCCAUGUUGGGUCAGAUUUUGCUCUAACAGAUUGAGUAGUAGAAGCUACUACUUGAGUUGUAUUUGGAGAAUUUGCAGAUGAUGUCAUAUAUGAAAUUAAAAAAAUUUACACAUUAAAGUAAAACUAUUUAUUAAUUAAUCACAAAGAAUGAAUGAGAUGGAUUCUAAUGAAAAGUGACAUGUCAGCUUAUACUUUACCUAUUUUUGCUAUUACUUUAGCCGUUACAAAAAGUAACAUGUCAACUUUAUUUCAUGUCAAUCUAGAAUCUCUAUCGUUUAAAUUUACUAUAUUUUUCCCGCACAAAGUAGCUUGUUAAAAAACAAGUGAAUAAAAAUCCAAGUGUUGCUAUUGCUGUACAAUUUUAUUGAAUAGAACAGAUGUACAACACGUCAAACAUAUUUCUAUUAUGUAGCAACUACCAAGUAGUAACAGUUGCACACCUUCUAUUCUCUCAUUAGAGGCUAUAGCUAAAAGACAAUGAAAUAUCUCUUUAUCCCAUCAAUGCAAAUUUGUAUAACACGUAUCCUCUCAUUACAGCCAGCCAUACGAAGCAUUGUGUGUGUAUUGUGCAUCUUUCUUAUUCUAUCAUACGCUAUAGUGAAAUUCAUACAAUAUAAUGAAAUUAAUGUCAAAGCAAAGAUAAAUUAUUGCACCUCUUCGUGUUCAUGACGAUGAGUAAUGAUGGUGAGAGCCAUCAACCUCUUCAUGAGUAUUGAGUAUUGAGUUCUUUGCAGUUUCUUCUACACAAUUAGGAUUUCUAUUUUGUUUUGUUUGUGAGUAAUGAGUGUUGUUGCUUCUUGUUGUUACUAACUUUGGAUAACUGUUAUUGACUUACUUUGUAAUUUAGGUUUGGCCGACGGUUUAGGUAAUUGAGUUAACUCGGGCUAACCCGACUGGACCGGAUUUUAGAGAAACGUGACCGUGUGUGGCACCGACUGACGGUCGAACCGUACGGUCCGGUCCUAAUAAUAGUGCUUUUAACAUUCAAUAAUCAUCUUAUGAUUAAAAUACAAAGGCAAAUUCUUUCUAGAGCACAUAAGAAGAUAAAAAGAUUCAAGGUACCAUUUCUAUUUGGCCAAGCUGAUGGUAACCAUAAUUCACCAUCACAAACAAUUAGGAAAUGCAUGCAUUGUGAAAUAACUAAGACACCACAAUGGAUCAGAGGGCAUGACCAAUGGGGCCAAAACACUCUUCAAUGCUUGUAGUGUACGAUUCAAGAAAGGUCUGUUAUUCCAUGAAUACUGGCUUGCUGCAAGUGCAACAUUUUGCCCAGUCAUUAGCUCAAAUUAUCAUAAGAAGGUCAUUGGAAUGGGAAACAACACUAGUAAGAAACUUGACUUUGCAACUAGUUCGACUUUCUCACCAAAACUAAUUCUGAACACAAACAACAAUCUUAUCCUAAAGUACAUGUUACGAACACUCAAUUUUGUCCGGCUUAUUUACGGCAUUUAAGAAAAACAUGAAAAGUUUCCAUAAUAACAAAAAAUAAUAAUAAAAUUUAAAAAUAAACAUAAUUUGGAAAUAUUAGAACAUAUUCUUUAACUAUACGGUUUUUACCCAUCUUUAAAAAACGUUUGAAUUGUUGGUAGUUUCACUUUCAUUUAUUUCUCUGAUGAAUAUAAUAACAAAAAAUUAAUCUCUCAAUUAACUAAUUGUCCAUUAGUUAGGGAGUUACAAAUUUUUUUAUGAUAAAGAAAACAUAUAGAAAUGAAUAGGAACAACUUUUUAGAUAGUUCAUUUUCGUGAUUACCAUUCCAAUCCACGUACACUAUAAAAGCUUUGUUCAUUUUGGAGCACUAGUGAGUGAGGAGGUGCAGAGGAAAAGACCAAAAGUGUGAGUCAGCGAGUCACACAUUCUUCAUUCAUUCAAAUUCAAUUAUCUAUCUUUCUCUCUCUUGCUUGAAUAGAAGAUGGAAGGGUUUACAAAUAUUAAAGUUUGGCAUGAGCCAUGAAUAAUCUUCUUGAUGAAACAAGAAAGAUGAGAAAAUACAUGAAUGAAAAAGAAAAGAAGGAAGAACGAAGAAUAUUGUAUUUCAUUAUUCUCAUUCUGAUUAUAAAGUAUUAGAAUUAUCCUUUAUAUACUACAUCUACCAAAUGAAAAGAAAACAAGAAAAACAAAAUGAAAAAUAGAAAAACAUAAUUACAACUAUUUUAACAUUCCUGCAAGCUUUAAUGUAUCAUAUAUUCCAAGCUUGAAAUGAUUGUUUUGAACACCAUCUUAUACUCUAGUACCUCCUCUAGUUGAUGAGUGAAUCUUGAUCUCUCAGUCAUGAGAUCUGAAUAUGAAGCAAUGGCGAUGCUUAACCACCUUUGGCAUAAGCAAUUUCAUCAUACACUUAACCAUUUAUUUGAUAUAAGCCUAAUCAUCAAAUGCUUAACCAUCAACUUGAUAGAAGCAAACCAACCAUAUUGGAUGAAAGAGAGAGAAAAAUGGAUUUUAAUCUUAAUCCUAAUAUGUUGCUUCAAUAAUGUAAAAUACACACUAUAAUAACGUUGUGUGUUUAAUGAGAAGAGUAAAGAAAAUAGAGUAUGAAGAAAUAAGGGUAAUUUGGGUAAUUGAUAAAGUAUAAGAAAAGAAUGUGUAAUCUGUGUGAUAAAAAAAUUCAAAGAAUAUCAUCUAUAGGUGUGGAUUUAAUAUCCAUUUCUGCCAAUGUCCUGCCUAUAGUGUGUGUGAUCAAUUUGCUCUUUGCAGCUUGUACAUACACCAUAUGGCAGCAACUAGAUCAAAGCACUUUCCAGCAAAGGCAAAGAAGCAUAGUGCAAGUUUCUCUGAGAAAGAACAUGAUGGUGAAUGUAAGAAACAAGAGCUAGCUAUUGUGGGUUUGAGUUUGGUUAACUAAUCUAACAAUGUGAGAACUAGAAUAUCCCCUUUGACCACCUUCCCUUCUAAUCGUGUGCACAACAUCAAUAAGAAAAAGAAUGAAACCACCAAUUCAUUAGCAAUUAAUAUGAAAUGGGUUCUAAUUAGAGUAAAUUGAGCUCCAUCAAUUUUGUUAACAACCAGACCAAUAGUAGCUCCAAAAUAUGAUGUGACAAAAAUUUAAAUAUUGAGUGAUUCAUAUCCGAGAACAAUAAGUGUUACACCCCUUUACAGAAAGAUCACCAUUCUUGAACUCAAAAAUUCAUAUAAAGUCCUUUUUCAUAGAGCCAAACAAAACUAGCAGCAAUAAAUAUGGAAAUCAUAAAACCAAAUGCCAAGGCAUAAUACAAUUUUCCCAAGAAUGCCAAGAUGUAGACAAUACUAGUAACGACAAUGAAAAGAUCACUCAAUCCACCAAGAACCAGCAAACUAAAAAUUGAAUGGGAUCUUCACACACAAAAAAGACCAUAGAUGUUGCCAAUAACUAGAAAACAUGAAAUCACCAAGAGACGCGCUAGCAGUUCACAUAAUUAGAAUCGGUACUAAUAUGAUAUAUAGACACUUUCUGUUUCCGUACUUCUUCUUUAACUGACAGGAACUUUAAAUCCAUAUAUUUAGUACAUCUAGAAUACCUGUCAUUCUUAGAGAAGAAGACAGCUGCGAAAUUAUCACAAUAAAACUUCAGCGGCCUAGCUACACUAUCUAUAAUGCCAAGCCCUGAAGUAAAGUUCCGCAGCCACAACGCAUGAUUUGUGGCUUCAAAGCAUGCCACAAACUCAACUUCCAUGGUGGACGUAGCAAUUGUAGACUCUCUACCGCUUCUCCAUGAAAUGACUCCUCCAACCAUUAGGAAGGUAUACCCAAAUGUAGAUUUCCUUGAGUCCAUACAUCCUGCAUAGUCUGAACCCGAAUAACCGAUCACCUCAAGAUGAUCUGACCUUCCAUACGUGAGCAUGUGAUCCUUAGUGCCUUGCAAAUAUCUUAGAACCUUCUUUUCAGCUUUCCAGUGGUCCAUUCCGGGGUUACUUUGAUAUCGGCCUAACAUUCAAACAAUAAAACUGAUAUCCGGCCGAGUGCAUGUUUGAGCAUACAUUAAACUCCCAACCACUGAUGCAUAGGGAAUAGAUUCCAUUUCCUUACGUUCCAAAUCAUUCCUUGGACAUUGCUUUUCACUGAAUUUGUCCCCUUUCUGGAUUGGAAUUAUCCCUGCGGAGCACUUUUCCAUUCUGAAUCUCUCUAACACCUUAUUGAUAUAUCCUUUCUGAUACAAUCCCAACAAUCUUUGUGAUCUAUCACAAAAUAUUUUUAUUCCUAUCACAUAGGAUGCCUCCCCCAUAUCCUUCAUUUCAAAGUUAUUAGAGAGAUACUUCUUUACAUCAUGUAACAACCCUUUAUCAUUUGCAGCAAGCAAAAUGUCGUCGACAUAUAAGACUAAUAUUAUAAACUUGCUCCCACUGAAUUUCAUAUAGAUACAUCGGUUAACAGUGUUUUCAACAAAUCCAUAUGACGUAAUGGUAUCAUUGAACUUUAUGUACCAUUGUUUGGAAGCUUGUUUAAGUCUAUAUAUUGACUUAUUUAAUUUACACACCAAAUUUUUGUUUCCUUUGGUCACAAACCCUUCGGGUUGGUUCAUAUAAACUUUCUUGUUUAAGUCACCAUUCAGAAAAGCGGUCUUUACGUCCAUUUGGUGAAGCUCUAAGUCAUAAUGAGCCACCAAUGCCAUAACAAUUCUUAAAGAAUCUUGCUUUGAAACUAGAGACAAAAUUUCUUUAUAAUCAAUGCCCUCCUUUUGAGUGAAACCCUUGGCGACAAGUCUAGCUUUAUAUCUUUCAAUGUUGCCUUUCGAGUUGCCUUUCGAGUUGCGCUUGGUCUUAAAGGCCCAUUUACAGCCAACUCGUUUUGAACCCUCGGGCAACUCAGUUAGAUCCCAAACUUUAUUAUCGUCCAUUGAUUUCAACUCUUCUUUCAUAGCAUUGAGCCACUUUUCAGAAUUGUCACUUUCAUAGCUUGUAUGAACGAGACUGGAUCCUUAUUAAUGCUUAAGUCACAUUCAUGUUCAAGUGAAUACACAAUAUAAUCAUCAGAAAUAGUUGGUCUUCUUUGCCUUCCAGACCUUCUUAAUGUUAUUUCUUGUGAUUCUUCUAUCACUUGAUCAUUAAUGACUCCAUUAAUUGGUUCAUUAAAUAUUAUUUCAUCUUGUGGAUUUUGGAUAUUAUCUUGUUGUCUCUGUGGGUUAUUUGACGGUAAUAUAACCAGAGGAACAACAUCUUGAGGAGACACCUUCGGUGAAGAAGGUUUAUCAGAAGUCUCAAUAAUAUCCACCUUUCGUGAUUUAUCACUCCCACUGGUUUGACUAUUUUCAAUGAACCUAGCAUUUCCAGACUCAACUAUUCUCGUACUAUGGUUAGGACAAUAAAAUCUGUACCCUUUUGACUUUUCCGGAUAGCCAAUGAAGAAACCACUAAUGGUUCUUGCAUCAAACUUCUUUUCAUGUGGGUUGUACAUCUUUACUUCUGCUGGACAACCCCAAACAUGGAGAUGUCUCAAACUGGGUUUCCUACCAGUCCAUAACUCAUAGGGAGUUUUAGGAACUACUUUACUGGGAACCCUAUUCGGCAGAUACGCAGCGGUCCUUAAUGCGUACAUCCACAACGAUAAAGGUACAUCACAAUGAUUCAACAUUGACCUAACCAUCUCCAUUAGUGUAUGGUUCCGCCUUUCAGUCACACCAUUCUGUUGCGGUGUGUAAGGCAUAGUGUAUUGAGCACAUAUGCCUCUACUUUCGAGAAACUUUGCAAAUGGUCCAGGACAUUGUCCAUUCUCAUUAUACUUUCCAUAAUAUUCACCACCUCUAUCAGACCUCACAACCUUAACCUUAUUUUCAAGUUGCCUUUCAACCUCGUCAAUAAAUACCUUUAGGACAUUUAUUGAUUGAGAUUUUUCAUGCAACAAAUAUAGGUAACAAUAACGUGAGUAAUCGUCUAUAAAAGUGAUGAAGUACUUUUCACCACCCCAAGAUGGAACAUCAAAUGGACCACAAAUAUCCGUGUAAAUCAAUUCAAGAAGUUUGCUACUUCUUAUGGCUGGGUUCUUUAAUAUGUAUUUAGUUUAUUUUCCUUUAAUACAAUCUAAAUAAACAUCCCAAUUGCCAUAAUCCAAAUGAGGCAAAAUCUCAUUUUUCGUUAACCUCAUUAUCCUUUCUUUGGAUAUAUGGUAUAAUCUUUGAUGCCACAAGUAAGCAGAAUUCUUAUCAAAAUAUUUAAGUUUGCUACCAACAUCAUGCUCAACAUUAAAUAAAGAUUCCUUAAAUUUAAAAUCAAGAUUGAAGCAAUAUAAACCAUUCAUUAAUGUACCAGAACCGAAAUAGUACGAGUGUUUAUACAAAUUAAAAACAGAAUGCCCAAUCUUAAAAUUAAAACCUAAACAAUCCAGCUUAGCAAUAGAAACCAAGUUCCUGGCACAUUUAGGAACAUAAAGACACUUUUCUAUAUCUAAAUAGUUUCCACUAUCUAGGAUCAAUCUGUAUGUUCCAAUUCCAUGAACUUGUGCCUGCAUUCUGUUCCCCAUGUAAAGAAACUUAUCAGUUUCCUGGGUUCGGAUUGAAAGGAAUCCCUGCAUAGUAUACGACACAUGAGUUGUUGCACCAGAAUCUAACCACCAAGUAUUAUUAGGAACCUCAAUAAGAAAUGAUUCAUCUAUAACGGAAACAAAAAUGUUUACCUUUCUUUUCGAACCACUUCUUUCUUUUAGGGCAAUCCUUCUUAAAGUGUCCAUUCUUCUUACAGAAGAAGCACUUCAUUUCUUUAUGGAUUCUCCCUUCUUUAAUGGGGACCUUUUCCUUCCCCUUUCCUUUGUUCCUAUUGCUUGGCCUGAAUCUGCUGCUGGUGCUACCUGGCUCUUGAAUGGUCAUGUGAAUGGAGUCAUUCAUAAUUUUCUUUAGCCUACCCUCCUUUUGAACGAGCAUGGCCUUUACUUCCUGAAAAUUCCAUUUUUCCUUUAUGGUGUUGUAAUUCACCUGGAAUUGGCCAAACUCAAUAGGAAGGGAGUUAAUGAUGAACUGUACUAAGAAUGCUUCUGUCACCUCCAUUCCUAUACCUUUCAUUUUCGCAACCAGAUUUGACAUACUGGUUACAUGAUCAUGAAUGGGCUGUGACUAAUCAAACUUCUUGGUCGUCAGCUCUGUCAUGAGGUUUCCCACCACAGACUUUUCAGUAAUGUCUGAUUGGGAGUACUCCUUGAUCAUUCUCAUAAAUUCCCUUGCAUUAUUUGUCUUAGGCAUAGAUGGCUUGACAUUGUCAGAGAUUGGCAUUCUCAUCAAGCUAAGACUCAACUUGUUUGACCGCUCCCAAGCCUCAUAAAGAGUCUUGUCUGCCUCCGUGCUGGUCUCAAUUAUGGUUGGUUCACUAUCCAUAAUGAUAGCCAAGUCCAACUCCAUUACACCCAGUGAGAACUGGAUCUGUUCAGACCAAUCAACAUAAUUCAGUCCGUUGAACUUAACACAUCCGUUGCCUAAGGCGAAAGCAUUGAAUGAAGCUGAAAAAAGACAUACUCACUCUUUAAUGCUUUGAUUAAACUUUAUGGAUUCAAACUAUACUAUACUUUUAUUCAUGCACUUAAUUUAUCUUUGGAUAAAAUUUAAAUGCAUUAAACCUUCAUUAAUGAUGCCUAAUAUUAUACUUUAAUGGGUAAUUAAUCAUACUCCUUAAACAUACAUGUUAUCUUUGGAUAAACGAGCACAACAAGUAUUUUUUUAAAACUUUAAUGUCACUAAAUACAUGCAAUAAUCCACCUUUGGGUGAUCAAGAUAUGCAUUAUAAUUAAUGAACAAACCCAAUUUAUUAUCCUCAUGACAUCAUAAUCUUAAUUACAAGCAAUGAUCCACCUUUGGGUGAUCAUAAUAUGCAUCAUAAUUUUAAAUGUAGCACACGAGGAGAUCUCGCCCAAGCGGGAGAUCGUCGCCCAAGCGCUAUUUCGAGACAAAAAUUUGAUGUCUAUUGUUUCUCCCUCGCCCAAGCGAGGUUAUCAAGCAUGGAGAAAACUGAUUUAUUGAUUCAUGAUUCUUCGCAAAAAAUCAUUCACAGAAUUUUGUUUACACAUAAAGACAUGCAUACACCAAUUAAUUCCAGAGAUACAAGAAAUGUCAUAAUGUCCCUAACCUUGUGUUGUGAUACCAAUUGUUAAUAAUUUUAGAGAAACUUCAUGAGUCUUUAAUGGUUCAUAAGAACCCUUUACAUUUAGGACCUUGACAUUAUGACAUUUACAUUGUGAUUAACAUAAAGUUAAGGAAUACCUGGUUCCAUUGCUAUUUCCUUAACUUGUGUUCUUUCCUUAUGCUCUUUCUGGUUGUCUUUUAUUAUCACCUCUCCUCCUUCCCUUUAUGAGUUCCUUGAUGAUUAGGAACUCAGUUUCCUUCCUUCCACUCUAUAACAGUGCACUGGACUUUAUUUAUGCAAAUCCAAGAUCUCUAUCUUAUUCUUGCUUUUAGUUUCUAUUCUUAAGAUAGAAAAAUGAAUUCACACUGAACAGAAUGUACUUUGCCUCUUUUAUUCCAAUGCCUGUUUUAAGGAGUUACAUAGGAAACUACCCAUGAAGUGAGAGGGGAGGGAGUUAACAAAACCCCCUACUAAUCUGAUCAGUUAAUUGCCAACCAUCAUCACAUUAUGCACUUUCAUUCAGAUUAGUAACUUUCAAGCAUAUGGACCACAUCGAUUAUUAAAUUAAUCUAACAACAACACCUUCUGCCAAAAUUAAUCUAUCCUUAUUAGUGAGAAUAAUAAAUUUCUCAUCCAUCUUAAUUUUGCAGCCAAUAUCCCUUUCAAUAUUGGUUAUAACUUUCUCUGUAAAGAGCAAUGUUAUUAAAACCGGACCGGUCAUCAAACCGGUGAGGGUACUGGUUUAGUGGUUCAAUCAAUGGUUCAGUAAUUAAAUCGCAUGGGAUUAAACCGGUUAAACCGGACAUACAUGCUUAUAUAUAUAUGUGUGUAAACCUGUAACAAAAAUUAUCUAAUAUGUAGAUACUCAAAUUUAUAAUCCAUAUUUAUAGUCAAAGUAAGAAUUCUCAUAAACAAACAACUUUAAUAAAUCCAAAGUCUAAAUUACAAAUAUAAAUAGUAAUCCACAAAUACUAGUCUAGAUGAAAAAGGAUUGAGAAGAAAUGGGAUUAAGAAUUGAGAAGGAAUGAAGGGUUUGUUCGUGUGAAUGAAGAAAAGUGGUUUCUAAUUCUAUGUGGUAUGUGCCUAUGUGAGUUCUUUAAAAUUACAUGCAUGUACCGGUCGGUUCAAUCAAAUUCCGGCCGGUUCACCGGUUUUGACACGGUUUACUGGUUUUUCUCCGGUUUACACCGGUUUUGAUGCUUAGCCGGCACAACACUUGUUUCGUACCGGUUAUGGGACCGGUUGACCGGUUCUCCGGUCGAACCGGCUGGUCCGAACCGGUUUUAAUAACAUUGGUAAAGAGUGCUCUUAAUUGUUUGUCUCUUGCUAGUAUAUGUUCAAAGAAAUCUUGAUAUUUGCGAUUUGCUCCAAGUCUAGAUGGACAACCCUGCCUGAAAUGCCUGAUUCUCCACAAAGUUUGCAUAUCAUUUCUUCUUCCUUUUCUUUUCUUCCAAUUCCUCUCGGUGGCCUUUGACUAAGCCUCCCAAACCUGACAUUUACCGAAGGAGAGCUAGUCACAAAAGAAAGAUUUGAACAUACAAAAUCAAUGCUAGAAGAAAAGUUAACAGAUCUUCUGGUGCCCUACCUCCACAUGAACUUCAAGAUGAUUCGUUGUUGAAUCUUGGAAAGGAAGAAACAUAAGCGGAUGUCAUGAAAGAAAAUAUUAUUGCUCUUAUACUAUGCUAAAAUUUGAUUUGAGUCAUGAAUAAUCUUAUUGAUGAAACAAGAAAGAUAGAAAAUACAUGAAUGAGAAAGAAAAGAAAAGAAAAGUUUAAAGCAUAAAAAAAGGAAGAAGGAGAAAGAAUAAAGAAUCCUUCUUAUUGUAUUUCAUUAUUUAUUACAACAUAUUUUAUAUUUAGUGGAGGUUUUUUAUGUGAUUAGUGGAGGUUCUCCACUAUAUAACUAGUGGAGGUUUCACAAACCUCCACAGUUAUGACUGCUAGAAGCGUUUUACGAAUGUUUUAGAAAACCUCUGGUAUCUAUUCAUUUGUAGCGGUUUAUUUGUGAAGGUUUUUAACCUCCAUUAUUUGUAAAGGUUUUUAACCUCCACUAUUUGAGGAGGUCUUUGUAAUGUUUUUAGAGAAUUUCAACCUCAGAUUAAUUUCAUAAUUUUCACAAGUUUAAUCUCAUUAAUUUAUAGUUAUUAUUUAAAUAUAUAAUACUAAAUACAAAUGUUCUUAACAAUAAUAAAAUUUCAUUGCAAAUACCCAAAGUAGUGUAACAUAGUUGAAACAAUCAUCAUUCACUAUAAAUCCAAAUACACCAUAAAAUCUCAAAAAACUAAAAGUAAUCUCAUAUUACACUUUAGAAACAAAAUACAUAACAAAAAUCCUAAAUGUUACUGGCUUCAGAUGAUCUUCUUGCACCUAAAGGUGUAUCAUGCUACUUGCAUCAUCAUCUGAUUGAAAUAAUAAAAUGAAUAUAUAUAUCAAACAAAUUGUUAUAGCAUAUAAGAAGUGUUAGAGAAGGUAAAACCAUAAACUGAUUAUUUUACUUCCCUCAAUGACAUAGGUCACCAUAUUUAUCAAACAAAUCUUGUAAAGAAAUCAAGCAAUCAGGUUCUGUACACACCCCAAUACUUUAGGUUGUUACAAAGACCACCACCUUCAUACCAAAACUAUAUACAUUAUUCUACAUUAAAAGAAAAGAGACAAACUACUACAUAAAAAUACCAUUCCCUGCUAUGCCAACGACUAAAAGAUUUAGGAUGUAUCCUAAAUCUUUUCCAUAUAAAUCCACUUACCAUUGGAAAAUAUAUGUAAUAUUUAAUGUAUGGUGGCAUAUUUAUAGCCCAAAUAAUCCUACUCAAACAUCACUAUUGAACAUGUGCCUUACAUCUCUGACUAUCAAAACCAGACUAUAGGUGUACAUAAAAUAAUAUAAUGCAAGAUUGCAUGAAUCAAACAAAAUACUGAAUAUAAUAAUGGUACUUGCACAUACAUGUGUAAAGAAGUUAGCUAAUCCUUCAUGGAUCUCUCCUUCUUUCAUUAUGAUGUAUGACUUAAAUGUUGAUUCCAAAUUGUUGCAUCUCUCUUGCCAAUCGUUAGAAGAUGAAGAUGUGGCAACAAAUGAUGAAGAGUGGCUCAAAUCAGAACUCGAAGUCUAGUAUUCCAAUAUGAAUUCGUAGGAAUUGCUCCCAUACCCAUAGUUAGCACUCUUCCAGAGUGAUCUGGUCCCAUCACUCUACCAACUAAAUCAUUAGGAGAAACUUCAGAUUCAUCAAUGUUGGUUUGAGUCAAAGCCUCUUGAAUUUAUUCCUACAUGCAUGCAAAUAAAAUAUGUAAAAUGUUACUUGUAAACAACCCACAGUAGUAAAUAACACUUUGUUCAUAAUCUAUAUAGUCAAUAAAAUUGAUCAUGUUCAAAGUUUCUCAUCAAAUCUAGCUAGAAAAACUUACCUUAAUUUGUGUAGCCAUAAUCACAAAACAUAGUCAAAAAAACAUAAACGGCGUCAUUAUAUUAUAUUACAAAUGCAGUUUAGUAAUUUAUUCAUUGGUUUUCUAACCACUCAACAUCACACCACAAAUCAUGUUAUACAUGUGGUAAAAAAAUAGAAAUUAGAAAGUCAGAUGAACAAAAAGGGCGACUAUCACCCAAUAAACAAGGCUCUCGCACCUAGAGACUCACCUAAUUUCCUAACUACAAUCUUACUUGUUGUGCCGAGUCUCACAUGAAACAAUGAUGAUAAAUUAAAAGGAACACAGAGCCACAACAAUCACACGAGGUAAAAACUUGCAAAUAUACCUCUCUUCCAGGAUGGAAAGGAACUUCAAGUCCACUAGUGAUCUCAACAGCAACGACUCCACCCAACUGUGUUACCAUAAAAUUAACAUUUAAACACUACACCACCAAAAUAAAAGAACUAAAAUUUUCCACAUCUUAUAUCUAAUAAAUUAAUAAUCACUAAUAAGGCAGUGGUAACAUUUUACAGAUAUGUAACUACUUGUAAGGUUGUGGGCAAAUUGUGUCGGACAAUACAUCAUAUUGAAUAAUCAAAUAAUCUCAACAUUGUUAAGAUAAUAAGUCUCCUAGUGAUACAACAAUUUUCACACUAUAUCAUCAUAGUCACUGUUUAUUAAAAUUCAAAUUAAAUAUGCUACCUAUAAGGAUGUAUGUUAAUGCUAUGAUAUUUGUUAUGAGGUUUAUUAGAAAUGGGAUAUGAUAGAGUAUUAUAAUUAGUUAUUUGGAUUUAAUUAAAUAAAUUGUAUUUAAUAUUUCUAGAAUGUUCUUCUAGUAUUAGAUGAUGACACUUGUAUGGUCAUCAUCAUCUUAAGAUUUCUUUACAUCUUUAAAUAGUAUCUUGUUCUUACUUGAAUGAAUCAAUGAAAAAUAAAGAAUUUACUCUUUUAUUAUCCUCUUAGUUUAUAGCUUUCUUAGGAGUAGAAUAAUUCAUAGUGUUCUUGGUAGAUUGUUAAUCUCCACUUAUCAAUUGGUGCUUUCAUUGAGAGUAAGAACAAGAUACUACACUAUCCCACGUUUGGUGUAUGUUUUGAAAUAUUUAUGGAUUUGGGGUAUUUUUUUAAUGGAUCUCGUGGAUGGUAUCCACGAUUUCACCAAAGUCGUGGACCUCAUCCACGAUUUCCCACCAAAGUCGUGGACCACAUCCACGAUUUCCUUACACCGUGUCCGGUCCCUGUAAGUCGUGGACCAGGAACACGAGUUUCAUGGCAAUCUCGUGGACCCGGUACACAAGUUCCAUGCAAUCUCGUAGAUGAUGUACACGAGAUCCAAGUCGUGUCUUGGAUCUACGACAUUCAAGCAAUAUUUAUACCCAUCCAUCCUGACUAUAAACCACUCUGAAGAAAGAAAUUGUAUGAAAAAUCUUUAGGUUAAUUUGUAAUUGAAGAACUGAGAUUAUUUAAGGUAACUAAAAAUGCUUUAUAUUUUUUCAGUUCAUUUACUUUAUAGUUAAUUUUAUCUAAUGUUACUUAUGUUUAAAUGUAAACAUCGUUUGUUUAUAUUUUACUGUAUGUUAUAUGUAGAUGAUAGAGAUAUUGUUAGUGAUUUUAGUGAUGAGGAGGACAUUGAGCUAUGUGAUGAUGAUGAUGAUGUUCAGAUUACCACUACUGAACUAGUUAGCAUAACAUAUGAUACUCCUUCAUCUUUUUUCGUUAGCAUUGAUUAUCAGUCUGGACAAGAUUUUCCAUAUAGAAGUACUGACAUAAGUACUAAUAUGGAUAAUAAUCUUUUUGUUGGUAUGUAAUUUGAAUCAAAGGAAGCAACAAUAAAUGCUGUAAAAAAAUUUCAUAUUAGAAAUUUUGUUGAUUACCAUGUGGAUGAGUCUAGGCCAGAUAGAUAUUUUGCAAAAUGUAAAUAUUAUGGUGUUGGGUGUGAAUGGAGACUUCAGGCAUCGAAAAGUGUGAAGCGUUAUAUUUGGGAGAUUAGAAAAAUUAGUGGAAGACACACUUAUGUAUCCACUAAUAUUUCUUAAGAUCACACGAAGUUGAACUCAUCUUUCAUCGCAAACUGCAUUGUUCAACUAGUAUAAGAAGAUCCUGGUAUACCAAUUAAAGCAUUAGUUAAAGAAGUGGUCACUCGUUUUGGUUAUACGGUGACAUAUAGGAAGGCUUGGACUGCUAAAAAAAUAGCAAUGUCCCAAAUUUAUGGUGAUUUGGAGGGAUCAUACAAGGAGUUACCUCGUUGGUUGAAUGUUGUUCAAUAUUAUGCAUCAGGUACAAUUGUAGGAUAUUCAGCAUCUAACUAUGAAGAACAUGAUACUUUAAUGACGUCUAACCAGGUACAAUUGUAAGAUAUUCGGGAUAGGUGUGCUCCUACAAAUGUGUUUCCACAUCCGUUGCAGUCAUUGAAUGACGUCUAUCAAAACUGCAAUGAGAUGAUGGAAGCGUUUGCUCAACUACUUCUCAAGCUCCUCCUACACAACAAUUUCAAAUGCCUUUUGCACCUGACUAUCAACAACAUUAUGAGAGUCAAAAUCAAACAUAUAUUUAUCCGUAGGCAUACACUCAAACUCCUGCUCCUCAGCAACAACAACAACAACCCUUUGGGUUUGACCGUUACAGAGCAAUGGGUGACUACUCAUUUUCUCACUUAGCAUCUUCUUCGCAAUUUCAAGAAAUUCCAUCAAUGUUUGGAACUACUUCAAAUACUCCAUUCUCGGCAUUGAACUCUCAACAAUAUUAUCAACUGACAAUGCCUUCACAAACAAAGAAAGACGAUGAAGAUGAUGACAAUGAUAACCAUGAUGAAGACGAAGAUGAGCAGCAACCACAACUAGUUAGAGGUGGAAGACAACAUCAAUCGCAACAACAACAACUAAGAGUCCAACCACCUUGAAGGAGAAAGUCACCUGGAUGUGGAACAUCAUCUCAUAAACGCCAUUAGGAAUUUUUAUUCUUGUUUUGUUUUAUGUAAUGUAAUGAUUUUCAAAUUCCUACUACAAUUAUGAAAUUUUCUUGUUCUGUUUUCUAUGAAAUUUUCUUAUUAUUCCAAUUUAUGCAUUUAAAAUAUAUGUUAAUAAUUUUAACAAAAAUUAUCCAAAUUCCAUAAAAUUAAAACUUUACUAAAAUUAUCAUAUUCAAAUAAAUUUUAAUUUUACAAGUUUAAUUUAAUUAUAUUAUAAACUAAAAAUCAUAAAAUAUUAAACAAUAAAUUAAAUUUCGUGCAAAGGGAAAUUUAAAAAUGUAUAUCCCAUACACGAUUUCACUAAGGAGAGAGAAACUAUGCAUGAAAAUCGUGGAUAUGGUCCAUGAGUUUGAUAAAAUCGUGGAUGGCAUCCAUGAGAUCCUCAAAAGUGCAUCAUUGCUGUAAUUACUUGAAAAUGUACCCCAAACGUGGGAUAGUAUAGUCAAACUAUAUUACCCACGUAAAUUUUCGCUAACAAUCACUAAUUUUCCACACUCAGUUCACUCCAAACACAUCAUGUAUUUCAAUUUCCUUUGUUCAUGAGAGAAUUCAUUAAUGAAACAGAUUGGAAAGAAAACAUAAAAAAACAAAGCCACAAAUCCUUCAAAAAGACAAAUCACAACUUCACAUAGUGUAGACAAAUUGGAAACUUAAGAAUGGAAAAUAAGAGAGAGAACUUGGAGAGCGAACCUCGAGAGAGAACUUGGAGAGAGAACCUGGAGAGAGAAGCUGGAGAGAUAUUGGAAACUUUAGGUUUUGUUGUAGAGGGUUUCAUUGAUAUUGGAAACUGGAGAGAUAUUGGAACCUGAAUAGAUUUAGGUAUUGUUAUGGAAAAGUAAUAUUAAUGGAUAUGUAGUUUUUCAAAUUGAUAGCGGAGGUUGAAAACCUCAAAAGAUUAAAUAAAAAACCAAUACUAUAUAUUUAGUUAAUUAUUCGGCUCACCUUGUUGAUUUAUGUGUGGAGGUUUUAAUAACCUACACAAAAAAACCUCCACAAAAUACAAAAUUUGGUAUAGUGAUUCUCAUUGUGAUUACAAAGUAUGAUAAUCAUCCUUUAUAUACUCCAUCUAUCAAAUGAGAAGGAAAACAUAAUGAAAAACAGAAAACAUAAUUACAACUAUUUUAACAACAUCUUCCAAUUCUUCUAAUUGGAAGAGCUUAUAUAUCCGUUGACUAAGUUAUGAAGGGAAAAAUAGUGGACACAUGGGCACAUAUAUUAGAUGUGGACUACCAUCCCAUACCAGGUGACUCUAAAAUCCAUGUUAAAAUGCAAUACUUUGAUGUUAUGAAUUAUAACAAUUGGUCCCAAGGAGGAUUAAGGAGUCCACAUUUUGAAAGUGUUCCACAGGGUUGUGAAGUUACUUUUCACUAAGAUGCACAUGUCCUUGUCGGCUCUAUACCAAUGUUCCAUUUGUUUGGAGGAAAAUAUUAUCAACCUGGUAGGUAUUGGGACUUGGGAGGAUAUCUAUAAUGCCAUUUUGGGUGCUAAGCAUUUUAUCUGCAUAAUUGGUUGGUCUGAUCCUACUGAAAUAAAAUUAGUUAGGGACCCAAGCAAACCAAAAAUCAUGUACAAAGCAUAUGGUGGUUGUGCUUUUGUUUCAUUGCAGCAUUUUUUUAAUCUUGGAUUGUUAAAAGAUGAAAGGUGGAUGAGCAUAAACAAAGAGGUGUAAUGAUCAGUCUAUCCCUUCACAUCCUAGUUCGUUAAUCAUGUUAUUUAACACCUGUGAAAGAUAUUUCUAAAAUAUUUGAAUUCACGAAUUAGUAUAUACAUAUUGUUGAUGAUUUAUGAAACAUGAUAUGAUUUGGUCUAGUGGUUGUGUUGAUUUAUGUGUGGAGGUUUUAAUAACCUACACAAAAAAACCUCCACAAAAUACAAAAUUUGGUAUAGUGAUUCUCAUUGUGAUUACAAAGUAUGAUAAUCAUCCUUUAUAUACUCCAUCUAUCAAAUGAGAAGGAAAACAUAAUGAAAAACAGAAAACAUAAUUACAACUAUUUUAACAACAUCUUCCAAUUCUUCUAAUUGGAAGAGCUUAUAUAUCCGUUGACUAAGUUAUGAAGGGAAAAAUAGUGGACACAUGGGCACAUAUAUUAGAUGUGGACUACCAUCCCAUACCAGGUGACUCUAAAAUCCAUGUUAAAAUGCAAUACUUUGAUGUUAUGAAUUAUAACAAUUGGUCCCAAGGAGGAUUAAGGAGUCCACAUUUUGAAAGUGUUCCACAGGGUUGUGAAGUUACUUUUCACUAAGAUGCACAUGUCCUUGUCGGCUCUAUACCAAUGUUCCAUUUGUUUGGAGGAAAAUAUUAUCAACCUGGUAGGUAUUGGGACUUGGGAGGAUAUCUAUAAUGCCAUUUUGGGUGCUAAGCAUUUUAUCUGCAUAAUUGGUUGGUCUGAUCCUACUGAAAUAAAAUUAGUUAGGGACCCAAGCAAACCAAAAAUCAUGUACAAAGCAUAUGGUGGUUGUGCUUUUGUUUCAUUGCAGCAUUUUUUUAAUCUUGGAUUGUUAAAAGAUGAAAGGUGGAUGAGCAUAAACAAAGAGGUGUAAUGAUCAGUCUAUCCCUUCACAUCCUAGUUCGUUAAUCAUGUUAUUUAACACCUGUGAAAGAUAUUUCUAAAAUAUUUGAAUUCACGAAUUAGUAUAUACAUAUUGUUGAUGAUUUAUGAAACAUGAUAUGAUUUGGUCUAGUGGUUGUGUUGAUUUAUGUGUGGAGGUUUUAAUAACCUACACAAAAAAACCUCCACAAAAUACAAAAUUUGGUAUAGUGAUUCUCAUUGUGAUUACAAAGUAUGAUAAUCAUCCUUUAUAUACUCCAUCUAUCAAAUGAGAAGGAAAACAUAAUGAAAAACAGAAAACAUAAUUACAACUAUUUUAACAACAUCUUCCAAUUCUUCUAAUUGGAAGAGCUUAUAUAUCCGUUGACUAAGUUAUGAAGGGAAAAAUAGUGGACACAUGGGCACAUAUAUUAGAUGUGGACUACCAUCCCAUACCAGGUGACUCUAAAAUCCAUGUUAAAAUGCAAUACUUUGAUGUUAUGAAUUAUAACAAUUGGUCCCAAGGAGGAUUAAGGAGUCCACAUUUUGAAAGUGUUCCACAGGGUUGUGAAGUUACUUUUCACUAAGAUGCACAUGUCCUUGUCGGCUCUAUAUCCCUUCACAUCCUAGUUCGUUAAUCAUGUUAUUUAACACCUGUGAAAGAUAUUUCUAAAAUAUUUGAAUUCACGAAUUAGUAUAUACAUAUUGUUGAUGAUUUAUGAAACAUGAUAUGAUUUGGUCUAGUGGUUGUGUUGUUUGACUACAACCUUGAGGUUGCAGGUUCAGCUCUCGUUGUGCACGUUUGUUCACAUUCUAUUUGCAUAUUAUAAAUUCAGAUAAAGUACGUUAGCUAGAUUCGAACCAGGACACGCUACUUGCCAAGAAAUAUAGUUGCCGCUAGGCUAUCAUGACUGUUUGAUUAAACAUUGAACAGUUAUGUUACAUAAUCUUUCGGAUCAACUCAUAUAUAAUUCCAAAAGUGUUUUUUCCCACCAAGUGAUAUGAAAUUCUCUAUAAAUAGAGAGACACUUGAAGGCAUAAUUGAAUCAUCUGGAUUUUGAUCUAUAAGAAAUCAUUCUCCAUUUCUCUAGUGCAUGAGAGAAGUGUAGGAAACAUAAAUUUUGUAAACUGAUAUUGAAAGAUACGCUUGUUGUGUUUGUGCAAAACACAUCUAGGUUUUCCAAAGUAUCCUGAAGGGGAUUCACUAUUCAUCCCAUUUGCAUCCAAUAUACUUAAAUUGGUGGGGGAGAAUGGAACCUAACGGUUAGUGUGGCAACACACGCUUUGGACGUUUUUACGUGUAUAUUCAUCAACCAUUUCUUUGUUCAAGUGUUGCAGCAUCUUCCCAACAAUUCAUGUUUUCUAACAAUCUUUAGGUUCGAAUUUGUAUUAAUGGCUGCUUCACUCAAAGAAAUGACUUCUGAUUUUGUGAAAUUGGAAAAUUCUGAUAGAGACAACUUUAUUCGCUGGAAAAAGAAGAUGAAAUUACUUCUUACCACUUUAAAAGUGGUAUAUGUUCUUGACACCACAAGGCCAUUAGAGAAUGAAGAAGAAAUAAUUGAAGAAACGAGAGAGACAGAGAGAGACAAAAAUAGGACAAUGAUGAUUAUUUAUGCAUGGACCACAUACUCAACAGUAUGCCAGACUCCUUGUUCGAUAUUUUUCAAAGUUGUCAUUCUGCAAAGGAUUUAUGGGAGAAAUUAGAAUCAAGAUACAUGCAAGAGGAUGCAACAAGUAAGAAGUUUAUUGUUUCUCAUUUCAAAAAUUAUAAAGUGGUAGACAAUAGAUCUGUUAUGGAAUAAAUGCAUGAAAUUGAACGUAUCCUUAAUAACUACAAACAACAUAACAUGCAUAUGGAUGAAAUAAUUAUUGUAUCCUCCAUAAUAGCAAACUCCCUCCUUCAUGGAAUGAUUUCAAAAGAGCCAUGAAGCAUAAGAAAGAUGACAUAUCUCUUGAGCAAUUAGGUAAUCACCUUCGUUUAGAAGAAGAGUAUUAAAAAACAAGAUGAUACUAAAAAUCAAAUUGCUCAUAAAAAGGUCCAUGUGAUGGAGGAAGGAGGUUCAAGUAAAAUUUCCAAGAAAAGAAACCGAGAUUUUAAUAAGUCUCAUGAUAAUCACAAUGGUAAUGACAACAAAAGAAUGAAAAAGAACGAUAAUUUUUGUGAAAAUAUAUUCAAGAGUAAUGUUGUUAAUAAUAAUGAUGAUAUGUUAUCUGCUUAUAUUCUUGAGUCUUGUGAUUUAUGGCAUAUGUGACUAUGACAUGUUAAUUUUAGAAAAUUGGAUGAUAUGAUGAAAUCAAAAUUAAUUCAUACUCUUGGCAAAAUUUUAAAUUCAUGUACUACUUGCAUGUUAACUAAAAUCUUAAGACAACCUUUUAAAAGAAUAGAAAGAAGUUCUAAGGUGCUAGAUUUAAUUCAUUCUGAUGUAUGAUUUACAUGGUUGGCCCACUAUUGGUGGCAAAAAGUAUUUUGUUACAUUCAUUGAUGAUUGUACUAGAUUCUGUUAUGUUUAUCUAAUGCACUCUAAGGAUGAAGUUUUAGGUAAAUUUAAAUUUUUUAAAGCACAAGUAGAACUUGAACAUGAAACUUUCAUUAAAUGUUUUAGAAGUGAUAGGGGAGGAGAGUUUUAUCAUCCUAAUUAUUUUGAGUCUAUUGGUAUUAUGCAUCAAACAAUUGUACCAUACUCCCCACAACAAAAUGGAAUAUCAGAAAGAAAAAAUAGAGUAUUAGAAGAAAUGGUAAAUGUCAUGUUAUCCUAUUCUGGUGUGUCAAAAGGUUAUUGGGGUGAAGUCAUGUUAACUACCUGUUAUAUGUUAAAUAGAGUUCCUAAUAAAAGGAACAAAGUAACCUCAUAUGAACUCUAGAAGAAAAGAAAACACAAUCUAAACUAUUUAAAAGUUUUGGGUUGUAGAGCAAUUGUAAAAGUUCUUGAACAAAAAAGAAAGAAAUUGGGUGAAAGAGGAAUUGAAUGUGUAUUUCUGGGCUAUGCUGAAAAUAGAAAAGCAUAUAGAUUCAUGGUCAUUGAAUCGAAUGAAUCAUAUCUUAUUAACAUAGUGAUUAAGUCAAGGGAUGCAAUUUUUCAAGAAAAUAGAUUUACCUCAAUUCAAUAUCCUAAAGACAUUAUUCAGUAUAAUAUGAGAAGUUUAGAAAACAAUGUAUCUAGUAAAGAUACUUUGGAAAGUUUAGAAACUAUAAGAAGUAAAAGGAUCCGAAAAGAGAAAAAUUAUGGACCAGACUUCUUUAUGUUCCUCGUUGAAGGAACAAACGAUUCCAUCAAUAGUUAUGGACCAAUUUGCUAUAAUUUAGAAAGUGAUCCAGAAGCAUAUGAUGAGGCAAUAAAAUCUCAAGAUUAUGCCUUUUGGAAAGAAGUUAUCCAAGAGGAAGUAGGCUCAAUUACGGAAAAUAGAACUUGGAAACUAGUUGAUCUUCUACCAGGAUCCAAGUCAAUAGGUCGUAAAUGGAUCUUUAAGAAGAAAAUGAAAGUUGAUGGUACCAUUGAUAAAUUUAAGACUAGACUUGUUGCAAAGGGAUUUACAUAAAAAGAAGGUAUUGACUAUUUUGAUAGCUAUGCACCUGUUGCAAGAAUUGCAUCCAUUAAAGUGCUUUUAGCAAUAGCUUCCAUCUAUAAGUUAGUAAUUCAUCAAAUGGAUGUUAAAACUGCUUUUCUCAAUGGAAAAUUAGAUGAAGAGGUGUACAUGAAACAACCUGAAGGGUUUAUUGUCAAAGGACAAGAAUACAAAGUGUGUAAAUUGAAUAAGUCUUUAUAUGGGUUAAAACAAGCACCCAAACAAUGGCACCAAAAAUUUGACAAAGUUAUGCUUGCCAAUGGGUACAAAUUAAAUGAAUCUGAUAGGUGUGUUUAUAGUAAAUUUUUAAAUGGAAAAUGUGUUAUGAUUUGUUUGUAUGUGGAUGAUAUGUUUAUAUUUGGUACCAAUUUAAAUGAGGUAGAAAAGACUAAAACUUUCUUAUCCAAAAUUUUUGGUAUGAAAGAUUUAGGUGAAGCGGGUGUGAUUUUAGGUAUUACAAUCAUAAGAGAUAGUGAGAAUAUUGGUUUGUCUCAAUCUCACUAUAUUGAGAAAGUGCUAAAGAAAUUUGAUCAUUUUGAUUGUAAAAGGGUUUCUACACCAUUUGGUCAAAAUGUUAGCUUACAACCACAUAAAGGUUGUCCGGUGGCACAACUAGAAUAUUCAAAGAUAAUCAGAUGUCUCAUGUAUGCCAUGACUUGUAUUAGACCUGAUAUAGCAUAUGAUGUUGGUAGGUUAAGUAGGUAUACAAAUAAUCCGAGUAAAAAACACUGACAUGUUGUUAAUAGAGUAUUGAAAUACUUGAAAGGAACAAUUAACUAUAAUUUAACAUGUAAUGGAUAACCUUCAGUUUUGGAAGGAUAUACAUAUACUAGUUGGGUAAAUUAUGUUGAAGAUCAUGCUUCCACAAGUGCAUGGAUCUUCAACCUUGGUGGAGUUGCACUUUUUUGGAGUUCAAAGAAACAAACUUUCAACGAUGCUAAUUUUUUGAAAGGAGAGUUUCCUCUUCGGUGUGUUCUCUUUAUUUUGUUAAGUAAGUGAACUCGGUUUUAUUCUUUGUUCGCCAUCUCGGCUUUAUUGAAAUAAAUUUCAACGUCAUUAUAAUGGUUUCAAGAAUAUUCCAGUUACAACUUACUUCUAAUAAUCAUGUGAAUAAGUUAUUCCUUCUUUGCCCAAUCUCGGCUUUGUUAGAAUAAAUUCUAAUGUCGGUACAAUGGUAUCGAAGCAAUCCCCUAUUACAUAAUUAAUAAGUACCUUUGAAUACCAUAUCGGUUUUGUGGAAUAAAUUCCAACACUGGUUUAAUGGUAUUUUAAUGUACAAAAGUGAUAAAUAGUUAGUUGUUAGAAACAAAUAAAUAAAUAAAGAACAAAAGAAUAAUAAAGAUAAGUGACCUUUAUUUAUUUACUUUUUUUCGGGUUCCUUUUAUUAACAAACCAAACUUCUUCCCUAAGGAAGGUUGGUAUUAAAGAAUAAAUAAAUUGUGCAACGUAAAUAACAAUAAUUAAAAGUUAGUAAGUUAGCUUCAUCACUUUUGUAUAUUAAAAGGUGUUUCAACAAAUAAUUUUAUUGAUAACACUUACUAUUUUACAAUUUACACCUCUUUCAAGAUUCAAUUGUAGUAUAGUAUAGGGUUAUGUUGAACGACAAGGAAUUGCCUAAUAGAAUGAAUCAUAUGAAUAUGUCAAUGCACAAAUAAUGAGNNNNNNNNNNNNNNNNNNNNNNNNNNNNNNNNNNNNNNNNNNNNNNNNNNNNNNNNNNNNNNNNNNNNNNNNNNNNNNNNNNNNNNNNNNNNNNNNNNNNUUAUUACUAAACAAUAUUACGUCCACAAAGAGACUAGGUUGUUACGUCCUAAUUUUGGCUACUCUAAUAUUGAAGUAAUGAUGAAUAUAAGAUCUUAAGAAAAGCAUGUUUAACUUGGUAAAUAAACUAAGUAGUACAAGUACUUCUUAGUUUAUUUAUUAAGUGUUUGAAACAAGUAAUUUUUCAUGACUUGAAAUCAGUUUUUAGGUGAUCAAUCUNNNNNNNNNNNNNNNNNNNNNNNNNNNNNNNNNNNNNNNNNNNNNNNNNNNNNNNNNNNNNNNNNNNNNNNNNNNNNNNNNNNNNNNNNNNNNNNNNNNNCAUGAGUCAUCCAUCCAAGGAUUGGAUGCUUUAAGUUCCAAAUGAUAUUACAAAAUGAAUUUUUGCAUCUCAUUUGCCUUCUCCUUUCUCCUCUUGAAUUAUAAACUAAAAACUAUAAAACUUACUUCAAAAGAACUUCUAUGAACUAAGAACAAGAAGAGAGAAUUGUGUUUCUAGGGAAGAAGAUAUGAUAUGAAGUGUGAAGUGUUCGAAUGAAAUGCCUCAUAUUUAUAGAAUUUUCCUGGAACCGCUGAGCUGCUUGUUUGCACCGCUCAGUAGCUGACCAAACCCUUCAGCAUGGGUUUGGUCACUUGGUCAAGUAGCUUUGUCACCUCCUUAAGCUUAACUCACCAAAGCUAGUUGUGAGCUGUGGGACCAGCUAUGGUGAGCUACUCCUGAAAAGCCUAUGGUGGGCUCCUUGAAGAGAUGUCAUGCAUGACUUCAUGGUUGCUUGAUGGCUAAGUCAAGUCUGGGUGCACACCAUUGAGCACACAUGUGGCACCGCUAAGCUGCUUGUUGAGAAGCUUUGGCCUGCUGACUGAGACGUGGAUUGGUGCUUGCUGACCUGGUCAGGUGUCUGGUUCACCGCUGAGCACACAUGUGUAACCGCUGAGCUGUUGCUUGAGUAGCUUGGGUGUGUGCCAGGCUUGUAUCUGACCGUGCUAAGCUUGAGUUCUGACCAUGUCUGGUGCUAGGCUGAGCAGUCAAGCAGGUCCGCUCAACUGCUUGCUUGAGCAGCUUGGUUUGUGCCAGGUUGGUGUCCAGGUUAGGCUGGUGUCCAGGUCAGAUAAACGUGGCUUGGUCCACGCUCAACUGUCUGCUUGAGCACCUUGAGUUUGACUUCUUUUUCUUCUUGGACCAUAAGUCUUUAUUCUAUUUUCUUUUUCUUUCUAAAUCCUACAAAACAAAUAAAAAAGAAAUGCAAACACAAAUAUACAAGAUUGUGAUAUUUUAUCCAAAAAGUAUUGUUUUAAGUUGGUUUUUCUCAAUUAUGCUUAAGAUAAGUGCCAUAAAAGUGUAUGAAAUUUAGGUAUGUUUGACACUUAUCACAUAGUCGACUCUACCAUGGCUGCAAAAUUUAUUGUUCUGACUGUAGGUAGUAAAGAGGUUGAAUGGCUAAGAAACUUAUUGUACGAGACACCUAUUUGGCCAAAGCUAAUGGCAUCGAUAUCUAUACAUUGUGACAGUCAGUUUAUGCUAUCAAAAGCAUACAACCAAGUGUAUAAUGGAAAAUCCAAACAUACUGGUUUGAGACAUAGCUAUGUAAAAGAAUUAAUUGCAAAUGGAGUAAUCUCCAUAGUGUUCCUAAGAACUAAAAAGAAUCAUCCAGAUCCUUUGACGAAAGGUAUGACAAAAAAUAUGGUGUUGAAAACAUCAUUGGGAUGGGACUCAAGUCCAUGUCUAAUUGAUCACAAAUAAUGUUAACUCAACUCACACUUGAGUAGCAUCAAGUCUUGAGUUCAAUGGUGGAAAAUACUAUUAGAGUGAUUGCAAGUACUUGACUAUAGACACAUCCCAAGUGAUAAAAGUACUUGGACCAUAAGUAAAAAGCUGGAAGGUUGAGUUUUAUUCUUAAUGGACAUAUAGCAAGAAUUUGCUUGAAUGCAUAUUAUGGGUGCAUUUUUUAUAUAGUCUACCUAUAUGAGAAUGAAGUUGGGUUACUUCUAUAGUUAAAGGGCUUGGGUCUCAAAUUAUCAUGAAAAAAGUACAUGACACAAGGCCUUAUUAAAUGUGUCAUAUUUAUAAUUCUUUCAAUAGUACCGAGAUUUCAUGUGUAAGUUGUGUACGCUUAUUCUAAUGAAUAUUUGGUUCAAAGUUUGUCUAUCAAUUUUAUUCAGAAUAAGUGGAACCCAUAACUUACUAUGUCAUGGUUCAAAUUGUAAGAUACCAUUAUCUGAAACCAUGAUAUUUUCAUAUUUAUGAUAUUUCUUAUAUUUUGAAAAUGGUGGGAGAUUGUGAUAGAUAUUUCCAAAAUAUCUGAAUUCACAAAUUAGUAUAUAUAUAUUGUUGAUGAUUUAUAAAACGUGAUAUGAUUUGGUCCAAUGGUUGUGUUGUUUGAUUAGAACUGGUUGUGCACUUUUGUUCACAUUUUAUUUGCAUAUUAUAAAUUCAGAAAAAGUGCAUCAACUGGAUUAAAUAGAUAGACACUUGAAUGCAUAAUUUCAGAUCAACACACACUUUGAAGAUUUUACGUGCAUAGCCAUCAACCAUUUCUUUGUUCAAGUGUUGCAGUAUCUUCUGAACAAUUCAAGUUUUCAAACAACACCUAGCCUUCGGUGAGUAGGUUCAACUCUAGUUGUGCACUUUUGUUCACAUUUUAUUUGCAUAUUAUAAAUUCAGAAAAAGUGCAUCAACUGGAUUAAAUAGAUAGACACUUGAAUGUAUAAUUUCAGAUCAACACACGCUUCGGAGAUUUUUACGUGCAUAGCCAUCCACGAUUUCUUUGUUCAAGUGUUACACUAUCUUCCCAACAAUUCAAGUUUUCUAACAACACCUAACCUUGGGUGAGUUGGAUUUCUUUGCUGAGAAUAUAAAAAGAGAGAGCCAAAAAGCCAAAAUGUGGUGUUGUGCCAAAAGAGAGAAAACGAGUGAAAAUAUUGCCAAGAUUGAAAUAGGAAUAAAAACCCUUCUUCUGUUUGGCCGUAGCUUUGGGACCCUUUUUUGAACCCCAAUCUCCACCAAUUAUCCCAACUUAGAUAUAUGGGUUUGAGAUUUUAAUUUUCAGUCAUGGAUUGGAAUCAAACAUCUUUGAUAAGGAGUAAGAAAGCUUCAAAGAGCUGCUUAAGGACUAUGAUACAAAAGAACUUGAGUUUAUCAAGCACAAAUUUUCAGCAUGAAACUAGGAUUGGUUUCUCUCAAAAAUUCAAUGCAAAAAGAACCAAUCACAUACAAUGGUGCAAGUUGGUCUCUUACCAAGUUGACACAUGUUCAGCGAAAAAAAAAGUUGACACAUUAACAUUAUAAAGAUCCCUGAGACACUUGACACACUAUCUUCAUCUCCUUCAAAUAUCUUCAUGCAGGUACAUAUUUUUUCGUCUUCACUACCUAUUUGGUCUAUUUCUUAUAUGAUAUACAAAAAAUAAUAAAAAUAUCCUAUCAUAAUGAUAUUAUAGGCAUAAAUAAAUCAAAAGUUUUAAUCAAACUAAUUUUAUUGGGAUUUGAAUAGCCCGGCCUAUAUCGUCUCUUCCUUUCUGCUCCAAGAGCGGAAAGUCAGUCUACGACCAGCAUUGUCUUUUUGCAAGUAAUUCCAUUUUUUCUAAAAAAAUAAAUCAUUUAUAAACAUCUUUUAAAUUAAAUUUAUGGGAUUUGAAUAGUCCGAUCUAGGACCCGUGUCGUCUCUUCCUUUCAACUCCAAGAGCCUAAAAUCGAUCUACGCCCAAUGUUGUCUCUUUGGUAUUAAUUUCAUUUUUAUAAAAACUAAAUCAUUUAUAUACAUCUUUUAAAUUAAUUAUGUGAGAUUUGAAUAGCCCAGUAUACGAUUUGUGUCAUUUCUUCAUUUUUGCUCCUAGAGUGAAAAGUAUGUCUGACUAGUGUUUUCUCUUUGAUGUUAAUCACACUUUUCUCAAUGGAUUGUCUCUUAGUAUAUACUUGAAAAAUUAAAAUAUUUUAAUAGGGAUUGAAUAGUGAGGUUACGACUUGUGUCACAUCUUUCUUUCCCUUCGAAUCGAGAAAUAAUUGUGGUCAUUAAUAUUGUCUUUGUUAUCUAUUGAAGCGAGAAGGGGGUAAGUGACAGAUAUCGAUUCUUAGUCUAUUAACCCCCUUCAAUCAACUUUAAUUAAUUUCUAAACUUUAAUCAUAACUAAUCAUUCAAGCUAAUCAUUUUUAAAUCAGAACUAAGUAGUCUUGAUUUCUUUAUUGCACUUAGGAAUACGUAUGAGCAAUAUGAACUCUUGUUAGACCCAAAUAUAAAAAUAUAUAUUUUGUUUUAGCAGUUCAAAUUUCAAAUAAAUUAUCAAGGGUAUAAAAGUCUAUGUCAUUAGUGAGGGUACCAUUUUAUUACAUGCGAACGAAUUGCUAAUACCUUCCCCGACCUAUAAUUGACUAUCGAGCUCAGAACUCAGGUUAAAAGACCAUAUUAUCCAAAUUUGGGCAUUAAAGAGAGUUUUCUAUGUUUUAACCGCAAAAAACGUACUAGUGACCCCAAACAAUUUGGGAGAGGUUAAAUCGAGUUUAUAUCUUCCUAACUUGUAAUGUCGGACUUUCAACUGAAAAUCGGAUCGCAACACAUGUGAUGAGGUGUGUGUGUCAUAUGUUAUUUAUUUAUAUUAUAUAUUUAGCAUUUUUUAUUAGAUUUUUGUUCCGGGAUAGAUUUCAAAUUUGAAAUUAAAUUUUGUGAUUAAUACAAAUAUUCGAAUAAGAUAUUAAUUAGUGUCUGAACACUUGAAAACACUUUUCGUGAUGGAAAAACAUAACAAUUUUAUAUAGCUGUAAAAUAUAAUAUAAUAUUCGUAAAUUGGAAAAAAAAAUAUUAUUUGAUUUUAUAAAAAUUAAAAGUGGUUGAAAUGCUUCUUGUUGAUAGAAAUUCAUUAAUGAUACUAUAAAAUCCCAAAAACUAUCGCAUAAAAAUAAUUAUUUGACUUUUAUGAAUAGUAAAAAUGAUUAAACUGACUUUUUUAAUUUUAUUUUAUUAAAGAACAUAAAUAAGAGGAAUUAAGACAUGUGUUUUUUCAAAUGAAAUCUCUUAUGCAAUAAAUGUACAUCCACUUAAACCCAUUGUUUAUUUUUUAUAUUAAAAGAAAAUGAAAUUUGUGGAAUUAAGUGCUAAUUUAGAAUAUAUAUAUUUUUUAAAAUAGUGACACAUUUGAAUUGGGAUAUGAAAGUAAUUAUUUUUAAAUCAAGAAUCCUUAUUUAUUUUUUAUUUUCGUUUUUAAUUAUUUAAUUUAGAAAACAAUUUUUUAAUUAUUAUUGGGUUUUUUUUGUCAGAUAAAAUUGAGUGUUCAUAAAUGUUUAUCUUUACUUGUAGCUUAUUGGGUCACACAUAUUGAUGUUAAGAUUUAUCAUGAUAGUAAAUAGUAAAGAAAUGAAAACCUAUUUUUUCGAGAUAUGGAGAACAUAUCGAAUGUUAUUUCUACUAAAUGUAUUUAUUAGCAUCCUUCGUGAGUUGAGUCAUUCGUCGAGUUCAUGCACUGAAGAACACAAAAAUGAAAGCAAAUCAAGAACACAAACGAGUGUAUUGUGAGAACUUGGAGAAAAAAAUAAAGAUAAUUCAGGAACGUAUAUUUUUUAUUGGAAGAGAACUUGGGAAGAAACAAUAAGAACACACCAUUAUUAAGAGAACUUGGAUGAAUAACAACAAGUUGUUCAACCUCAAUAGUCAAAAUGAAUGGACAAAGAUUAGGAUGACAAAAAAACUCAACCUACGAGUAUCUGCAAAAAUACCUGCAACGAGUUCCCAUAAUAAUUGCUUAUUGGUAGAUACAACAUAAUCCACCUCACAGUUAUCUGCAUAUUUAUAAAAUUAUUUUUAAUUAAAUUUUUGUAUAAGAUAAAGUUUUUUUAUUAUUACUAUUUUAAGAUUAUAUAUUAUAUACUUUAUUAUUAUUUAAUAAUAAAUUACCAUGAUUUAAUUAUAGUUAUAAAUUUAUUGUAUAAAUAUCUUAUUAUUUACGUAAUAAUUAUUUUUAUAUAUUAAUUAUUAGUAAAUAUAUAACUAUAUAAUUAAAAUAAAAAAUAUGUUAAUAUCUGUUACCGCAAAAAGUAUAGGUUUACUAACAAGAAAGCAGUACUCGUAAAUCGUGGCUGCCCCUCCCCAUUGCCAUGCGUAACAAAGAUCCCCAUGGACCAGUAUCAAGUCACACUCUACAAUCAUUAUCCAAUGGAAGUCCAAUAUUAGAUUCACCUAUAUCCACAUCAUUCUCCUCUAUAUAUUCAUCUGUGAUCUGUUUCUCGUCAUUGUUGCAAAUACACAAUUCUCAUUUCUCUUCUCUGAACAGUCAUAUUAGAAUUGUUUCUAAAAUAUGACAACCAAUACAUUGAUGAGCUCUGCUAUCUCAGCAUUCCCAUAUCCUCUUUCUUCAUCAAAAUCAAGAUCUCCCACUUCAGUUGCAGCUUCACGCAAUGGUACCAAAUCAUCAGGUCGCUUAUCCUCUUCUGCUGAGUGGUUCCCUGGCGAGCCUAGACCACCUUACCUUGAUGGUUCAGCUCCUGGGUAAGCAUCAAUUUCACAUUUUGUUUAUAACUUAUUCCAAAAUAUGAUUUUUUAUGAUGAUUAUGUUAUACAUUGUUGUUCCUUUUGUGUUUCAGUGACUUUGGGUUCGACCCUCUUGGUCUUGGUAGAGUACCAGUGCACCUUGAGAGAUACAAAGAAUCAGAAGUCUUUCAUUGCAGAUUGGCUAUGGCUGCUGUUGUAAGUGUCACUUUCAAACUAGAUAACUAUAUACCUGGGGCAGUGUUUUAAAUUGUUAUUGCAAUUGGUUGCGGUCACGACAACGGUUGUUAUUUCUGUGAUUGCAGUUAUUGCAGCCGUUGCGUGCAGAUUAGUUUGUGAUUUUUUUUUAAUUCGAUGUGGCUUGAUGCGGUCUGCUAUGAUUGUAUCUUUGUGAUUCGUUGUCAUACGGUGUAAUACGGCUGCAACGACCACCACUGCGGCCUCAUUAAGUGAUAGGGUCUGCCAUUUGAAUAACAGUUAAUGGGGAAAAUUAAGAAAGCUUAUUAGUAAGCUGAAAUUGUUUGAAUUUUGCAGCCAGGAGUUUUGAUCCCAGAGGCAUUGGGUUUAGGAAAUUGGGUACAAGCUCAGGAGUGGUCUACAGUUCCUGGAGGUCAAGCAACUUACCUAGGCAGCCCUGUUCCAUGGGGCACCCUCCCUGUCAUUAUAGCAAUUGAAGUUGUUGCUAUGGCCUUUGCAGAAAUCCAAAGGGUAGUAGAGAAAGACACUGAGAAGAAGAAAUACCCUGGUGGAUUUUUUGAUCCUUUGGGAUACUCUAAGGACCCUGAAAAGUUUGCAGAAUACAAAGUCAAGGAAAUUAAGAAUGGUAAGCACUUUUGAUAUAAAAGAUUGAAAUUUUCUAUUAUCGUGGAAUACCCGAGUGACAUUUUUGCUACACUUUUCAGCUCUAUAACACAUUUUUUCCUAUAAACUUGAAAAGUGUCACUCAUAAGUGUACAUAAAAUAGUGCAUAAGUGCACUUAAGAGAUCUGUAUUAGUUGUAUAGAAAGUUUAACAUAUUUGUUACUUGUUGAAAUGUGUAGGACGCCUUGCUCUAUUGGCUUGUCUGGGAUUCGCUGUUCAACAAUCAGUAUACCCUGGCACUGGACCAUUGGACAACUUGGCUGCUCACGUGGCUGAUCCAUGGCACAACAACGUUGGAAACAUCCUUUUCCCCAAUUUCUAGAUUCUGCCCCCAACA